CUAAUAAUGCUAUAAUUAGACUAUAAUAAUACUAAGCAAGCUUAAUCAAAUACAAAAAAAUCUUAAAGAAAUUUCAAAAAAAUAAUAAGAAUUCUUAAAAAAAUAUUAGAAGGAUUACAAAUAUUACUCAAAUACAUCUCAAUUCAAUCUUAAUUUAAUUCUAGUUAAAAUCCUAUUGAACUUCAUUCAAACUUUAGGCCAAAACUAAUUGAAUCUUAAAUCCUAUUAAAAUCCUAAAUCCUAAAUCAAACCCUAAAUAAAUCUUAAAUCAAAUCCCAACCAAAUCCUAAAUCGAAUCCUAACAAAAUCCUAAACCCUAAAUAAAAUCAUAAACCAAAUCCUAAUCCAAAUCCUAAAUCCUAAACCAAAUCCUAAUCAAAUCCUAAAUCCUAAAUCAAACUCUAAUCAAAUCCUAAACCAAAUCCUAACCAAAUCUUAAACCCUAAAUCAAAUCCUAAUCAAAUCCUAAAUCCUAAAUCAAAUCCUAAUCCAAACCCUAAACCUUAAACCAAAUCCUAGUAAUUCUUACAACAGAUUUAAACCUCAAUAACUAAUGAAUAAACUAUUGUCGUAUUACGUACUUUCCUGCUUGAGAACGCACUGAGCAUCUGGCUAUAGGAGGUAGUAUGGAGAUUCGCUAAUAUUCAAGCAGUCUAUUGAUUUUUGACUAUUGGAAUAUAAACGAUAGUAAGAAUAUACCAUAAAUCUAUACGGAUGUCCUUCGACUACUCGCCAAAAUCCUUUUUGUCCCAACCGAUAGGUCUCUAGACGUUACAGAGAACCCCGAACAAUCCAAUCUGCUAAUCUUUGAUACCGCUUUAUACUCAUGACCUUGUAUCCACUGACUGCCUUGUUAGAUUAACCCAAAAAUUUUCAUUCACUCCGCAUACUCAAUCCUAUAGACACCCUUUUAAUUCUUCAAUCAUAGACAUAACUUCGAUUUCACAAAACAGUUAAGAGUAAUCACACCCACUUCAUUAGAACCCUGAUUCACUAGUACAACACUGACUUCAGCAACGAUUGCCUCAGUUUUCCUAAAACCCUAUGAAGAAAAAAAAAAAAAUCCCAAUUCUCUGUCUUUUUUCUCUGAAGCAUGAAGCUAGCUCUCCCCCCUUAAAACCUUGAUUUUUCCUCCUUCAUUUCUUAACCUAUCCUCCCCUUUAAUCCUAAUUCUCUCAUCUUUCAAACCCUAGCCUUUGAAUUUCUUCAAUCUUCUAUCUUGGAUCUGAAAUUGGCUCCGCCGUCAGAGCUUUCUCCUCUAUUUUUUGCCUUUUAAAAGGUUCUUUUUUCAGAAACAACGUUCCCUAAAAUGGCAUAGAGAACAAGACAGCCUGAAACGGAAUCGAAACUCCCGUAAUCGGGACCACAUUGAGUCACCCGACCAAAUCAGGUCUCAUAUUGGCUAAGAGGCCCGUAGUAAGACCUGGAUGUUCCUGUAAUUGGGUCAAAUUGGUCCUUCACAUUAGGCUCGCUAAGUCAUCAAUUUAAUCCUUUCGAUUCUAUUGACUCCCACUAUUAGACACGAACGGAGCAUUUCGUUAUUGGUAAGUAUGCCCUGACCGAUUGUAACAGGAUGUCUGAACUGGCCCCUGAAUAUUGGCACUGUAAUCGAUCGUUGCUCCCAAUAUUUGAGAUAACUAAAUAUUAAUAAAAGUCCUCUUUUUUUAUAUUUUCACGGUAUACUCAUGUUACAAUACGACAUCCACCCCCUCUGAACCUGUGCAUCCUCCAAUAUGCAUCAAUUUACCCAAUUGCUGUUUGAUUUAUAAUAUAUUCUCUACGUCUUUGUCCAGUUUGUCUUUGUCACCUUUAUUAUCCAAAUCACUUUCAUCUUCUUGCUGCGGAAUCUCUAUACCUUCAUUAAGGUCUUCUAUAUUCAUCUCCGUGUAUCUUCGUUUAAAUAUUUUUACUCGCUUCCGUGCAAUUGGUAUUUUCAAUUUUGUACCAUCUAACUCCCGUAAUGAGUAAGUCGCAUUAUCAUGAACAGUUGUUACUACAUAUGGUCCAAACCAACAUUUUGAAAAUUUCCGCAAAGUACUAUGUUGAUUAUCCAGACUAUUGUCAUAAACAAGUACCCAGUCACCUUCCUUGAUUGCUUUAGGUCUCAAUCGAUGUUGCUUAUCGAAUCACGCCUUGUUUUGUAACCUUGUUCUUUUUAACCUUUCCAAUUCUAUCUACACAUCUUCCAAUCUUUGCUCCAAUUGUCGAAUCCUAAUAGCCAGAAGUUCUUCUCUUGUCAAUCCAUCUUCCCAUGGUAGCAUACUCUAUGUAAGUACCCUUUCUUCAAUCGGCAUAAUUGAUUUUCGACCUGUCAUAAGUUCUACUGGCAUAUAUCAUGUCACCAAACUAUGUGUUGUUCGAUCAGUCCAUAAUACAAAUGACAAAAGCCAUGGCCACUCUCUAACUUUCCCAUUACAAGCUUUAACUAAUGCUUUCACAAUUGGUAGGUGACCACGUUCACUUUUUACAUUCCCUUUUGGAUUAUAAGCAGUAGUCAGUGAUAGUUUAACUCUACAUCUUUCAAAGAACUUACGAGCUUCUUGUGCAUUUAAUUCUCCACAAUCUGUAGUGAUUUUUCCUAUGCAUGCGUAGUGGCAAAUGACAUCUUCAAGCAAAAAUUUACAAAUCCCCUCUGUAGAUUUUGUCCUCAAUGUUCUUCCUUCUACUUGAUUUGAUAAAUCUUCACGAGCUAAGACCAAAUAUUUCAUCUGCCAUAAUCCAACUGGCAUAAUAACCAAAUCAACAACCCAUUUAAAAUGAAUAGCUAGAGGAUACGUAAGAUGAAGACCAUCUCGAUGUCGGAUAUUAGAAUAUGAUUGACAAAUUUCACAUGACUCUACAAAUGAGAGCACAUCUCAAUACAUAUUUUUCCACCAAUAUCGUUCAUUGAGUUUAGCAAAAGUAGCCCAGAUUCCUCUAUGUCUUGCCCAUAAACUAUCAUGAAAUUCCUUUAAUAAUUUUAGUUUUUCUUUCUUUUUGCCUAUCACUCGUUGUAGCAUCCUAAUUCCUUUCUUCGGUCUCUUCCAUAAGAAUCCAUCUCGAAGCAAAAAUCCAUAUUCUUUUUUUCUUAUUUGUUUGAAUUUUUCUAUAGACCAAUUUCCUUGCAUAGUCAAGGUAUUCAAGUAAUGACCAAUAUCCAAUAAUUCUCCUUCAUAAGAUUCUUCAAGAAAUAGCUUAUCUUCUCUGUUGAGAUUUGAUAUUGAAUAGAAUUUCAAUCUGACGUCAUCAAUGUCUUCAACCAUUUCAUCCUCCCUCUCGUAUCUUACUCAAGAUAGCAUGUCUGUUACUAAAUUGUCCUUCCUAGUAACAUGCUUAAAUUCCGGAUUAAGUGAUUUAAUAUAAGCAAUCCAUCUCAACAUUGCAAUAUCUAGCGUUGAAUAGUUAGUAAUCAUUCCAAGCAAUGGCAAGCAAUCUGUUUCAAUUACUACUACUGCCCCAAUCAAAUAGUCAUUUUCAGCUUUCAUAGUCGAAACAACUCCCCAAAGUUCUCUUUUGACUUGCGAAUAUGCACGCUGACAAAUACUUAAAACUUUAGCUCCAAAUCGAACUGCAAAUCUAUUCCCACUUGAAUCAUUUUGAUCCACAGCCCAUCCAAUGGUAAUUGGACUAGUGUCCACAGUAAGAAUCACUAGUCUAUUGCACUUAUAAUCAACCUUCCUCAAUAUUGGAGGUGACAUCAAUAAUUUCUUCAAACUUUGUAUUACCUGAAUAUGCCUUUCUUCUCAUUUAAAUCGGUAGCCUUUGCAUAACAGUUCAUAUAAUGGAUCCGCUAUGUGAGCAUAAUGAAGGAUCCAAAUGCGAUAAAAUACACAUGCACCUAAAAACUUGCGAACCUCUGUUAAAGAUUCACAAUCCUCUUUCAUCCUUCUAAUUGCAUCAACUUUAGUCAGAUCUGAUUUUCUUCUGUAAGAUCGAUAUAAAUGUCCAACAAUCAUAACCUCUUGUACUCCAAAUAUGGACUUCAUACCCGAUAAUGUAAGAUGAACUUUUCCAAGCCAAGUUAAAAUCUUUUCACAAUCUUGUAUAUGAUCAACAACAUAUUUGCGACACCUCCUCUUAUCUAAAGUUUCAACCUUGUCUCCUUCUCUGCAACCUUUUAUAGGAACAUCAUCCAAAAAAGGCAUAGUCUUCUCCGUAAUAAAAUCUCUGAAUACCUUAUUCAUCCCAUUCAUCAUAUGCGCAACUGAGUUGGUCGCGCCUUGAGGAAGAGUGCACAUUCUAACCAAUCCAAGUGGUGUCCUCAUUGUCGUCAUAUCUCUACUUCCUUCGGCAAGUUGAAAUUGAUCAUAACCUGAAUACAAGUCACCCAUUGAAUAAAUCGCCCUUCCUGCAAACGUCUCAGCAAAUUCAUCCACAAUAGGUCCAAUUCCUGCAUUCUUGACAAUUACUACAUUCACCAGAUGCAUAUCUUGAAUAAAACGUAGUAAUCCAUUCUUCUUAUGUACCGUUGUCGUGUUGUGGUUUGGCUACUAUAUGAAAAUAAUGUAAUUAUGUACUUAAUAUAUAAUUUAUUAAGUAACAUGGUGAGAGCCAUGUUAGUAGAUUUUAGUUGGUUGUAGAAUAUAAUUUGAGUAUUACUUUGAAAAGAGGUUGUUUAAAAAGAUUACUAUAGAAUUUGUAUAACUUUAAUUUCCUUUUGAUAGUGGCUUUUAAGAUUGGUUUUGGUUGAUAGUAACUUCUAAAUAUUUAGAGUCACCUUUAUUAGACAUUGGUGACAUUUGAAAACUUAUUUUGAUUCUUUUAUUUGGUGUUUAGAGCAUACAUUAUGUAAAUCUUAUAAGAAAAAGUAUUGAAGAAGGAUUUUGGUAGCAAAGGGAGUAAUUAGGGCACCAAUAUAGAUGAAUGGAGAUGAAAAAUAAAACUCUCCAUUCCUAUUGGUCAAAAAUCAUGACGAAUGGACUUUGAGGAGGCUGCCUGAGGCCAUAUUAGGGAUUAGGGUUAGUUUCUCGAGCCCAUUCGAACUUUGAAGGCUAGGGUCAGAAGGUUUAGGUUUUUAUUUAAGGUUUUGGUGGGAGUUUUGUGUCAUUUGGGGUUUAUAUGAAGAAGUUAUAGGCGCUCAAAGUUAAGGUGUUAGUUUUGGACCUACUGUCACUCUUUUGGGCAUAACGCACGCAUACGGAUGGCAAUUGAGAAUCGGUGAUCGCAACUGGAGAGAGCACUUUUGUGGCUAUACUAUCCAAGUAAGAAUGAAGGAGUUAUUGAAUUUUGAAGUUAGCACAUGCAAUCUAAGGGUAAUAAGUAAACCGAUUUACUAGUGUUUGUCUCUUGAACUAUAUCUUGAGCAAUUUUGUGAGGUUUUGGCUCAAAAUUUCAAAGAAUGUGUAAUUUCAUGUUAAUAAACUUUGUGCAUAAGUUUUAUGACAUUUGGAGUUCGGGUUUUUGAGAUAUAAGGAAAAUAGUUUUUUCAGAUGCUUGUAAAUUAGGGUUUGGAGUGUCUGCUAGGGUUUCUUAGAUGCCAAAAGAUUGGGAGUGAAUUUGAGGUUGGUGUUUUUUGUGGUAUAAGUUAAGGAUAAAUUCUACCUAUCUUAUAAGUUUGAAACAAACUGAACAGUUAGAUCAAUAGUUAUGAUUUUCUAAAGUUCAGAGCAAAAAAAACCCUUCACGAAAAAAAUAUGUUUUGAAGGGAUUUUGUUAUAUUUGGAGUUUUAUACAAAAAUAAAGGAAUUUUGGAAGCCAUAAAAAGAAUCAUAUAAAGGUUUAAGGUACACUCUCUACAGCUAGAUAUCUAAUGUAUUCCCUGAUAGCAAAUCACGCCAUACGACACUGUAAACGAUCGACUAGAAUACAGCACGAAUGAGGGUUCUAAUAUUUUCAUCUUCAUCUUUUCUUUUAAUAGUUCCACGAAUUUAGGUAAAUGUACCUUCGGUACUGGAAUCAAUCUUAGAUUCCAAGGUACAUGUGGUACAGUGAAGAUAACCAUAGGUGUUAUAAUAUUCGGAUCCACAUACCCAAUUUCAUAAGAUUCGAAGGCAAAUGAUCUACCUUGUUUAGCCAACAUCUUUUUGAAGCAAGUAAUUUCCUCCGGUAAUAAAGAACCAUCAGAACCAAUCUUCAAUUCUUUAAAAGUCUCUUUAGUAAAUUGAUGUCCAAUACUCAUUGGAUCUCUUAAACUUGUUUCUUUUGAUGCUUCUCCCAUUUGUUCUUUAAAAUCUUUUGGUAAUGGUCCGACAACAGGCUUUACCUUCUUAUCUACCGUUUUAUAUCUCGUCUCUACAAUGACUUCUGGUGCUUGAAAAGAUUCAAGUAUGGUAUAAAUCUCUCUUGAAUGAAUCUCAACAAUCUUAUCAUUAUCCCCUAACCCAAUAAAUGUAAUCAAUUCCAUUGAAUCUUCCAGUCCAUUUUCUUCAUAAACACCUAAAAUCCUCUCAUCAUCUUACAAUGUACCUAACUUAUAUAAUUCUCCUUCAAUAUUAUAUAAUCUUUUUCUUUCUUUUCUUUUAAAAUCAUCAACUUUCUUAUACAUAAUAUUUCCAUUCUCCAAAAUACAAAUAAAACUCACAUCAAAGACACCUUCAUCUUGUGAGAGUACCUCCUCUUUUGUACCUCCAUAAUCUCACUUUACAGUGGUACUUUCCCAAAGUCCUUAAAUCCUUCAACAAUCUUUGGCAAUGGUUUCUCCCUCAACCUAUGUCGAUUCCGUUCAUGGUUAGGAGGUACUGUUAGAAAUUGUACAGCUUUCCUCCCAUCUUUGCUACAUAUCCUUGCAUAAGCAAAACCAUCGUCAAGUACUUUUGUUUCCAUUCGUAUUGCCAUAAUAUAAGGUUGUCCUAAAAUCAACGGAUAAGACGUUGUAUCUUGAACAAAGAAAUGUUGCUCCAUCGUAACAUCCCCAAUCCAAAUUUUGACAUCUGGACAAGCUCCAUAUAAUUCGUCCCGUGUGUUAUUAGCUUCUUGUAUUGCCCAUCUAUGUUCCAUAUCAAUUGGCCAUUUUUGUUUCUUAUAAAGAUCUUUAGACAUGAGAUUUAUUUCAGAACCAUGGUUGAUUAAAGCAACAAUUGGUUCUUCUAUAUCUCCUACUUUCACCAAUACCUCUGUAGUUGCCCUUGUCCAAUGCUUUUGAGUAUAAUGGCUCAAAGUUUCCAUUUCCUUAUCAUUAUAAUCUUCGAAAUGUACUCGUUGAUUAUACCCAUUCUUUUCAUUUAUUGGUUGCUUGUAACCAAUAUCAACCUCUUCUUCAGCUUUAUAUAUUCUUGCAUCAAUAGCAUGACUCAUUCCAGUUUUGCCCAUUAAUUGCAUCUUUUGCUUAAUGCUGUCAAUGAUAACAUCAUGAAACUCCUUCUUUGCAAUUCCCAAGACUUCUUUCAAUGUGAAUUCCACCUUAGCAUUUAAUAUACGUUCUUCCAAUACCCCUUUCAAAUUUGUUGCCGCUUCAAUGUUAGAAAGUAGCUUAUAAGCAAUUGAUUACCUUUAUCUUUUGUCUCCUUUGUUUUUUCUCCCAAUGAUGCUGAGGUAUCCUUUACAGGCAAUUCUUGUGAAGCUGCCUCCCGAGCCUUGUCUCCUCGAGUUUGCCUCUUAGAAGAAUUUCCUUCUCUAGUAUCAUCAAAAUUUUCUCGUCUCUUUUCUUCCAUCAAAGCUUCAUGUUGGCUCUUAGCAAUAUAUGCAUGAACUGAAAGAGAUUCAACAGGAUCCUCCCAACCUGUUCUACCUCGUAUUGUAGCUGCAGUUCUCAAUAAUGCUUCUCGAGGUAAUUUCUCUUCUUGCAUUAUAGAAAUGGUAGAAGCCCAAAACUCACUAGUUUCCGUACUUCCACCAAAGUCAUCAUCUACUCUAGCACCAUAACUUGCACUUUCUCGUGCUGCUAUUUCAUGUUUUUUUAAGUAAUCUUGAACCAAUGCUCUCAUUCCUUCCUUGCCAAAAUUGGUUUGAAGAAGAUCUUCCCUGUCUUUUAAUGCUAUCUUCUUAUCUUUCCAGCAAAUAAUUUCUUACCAUAUCAUAUUAUUAAAUUCAAGCAAAUAAUUUCUUACCAUAUCACAUUAUUUUCUAAUGUGUGAAGCGUCAUCACACCAAAUGCAUCUUUGUACAUAUCUUUGUUUUGAAACAUUCUUCAAAUUGUUUGUAGAAGUAUUCUCUUCAAGUCUUGCCAAUUUGAUUUGAAGAUCUCGCAUUCCUCGUAUAAUUUCUUCCAUACCCAUAUCUGCUUUCUUUGACAAGGAUGUCGAAGGUUGAACUGUAGGCAUUGUUGGUGGUGUUGUACGUAUUGGAGCUUUGGGUGCUUGUACUGUUUUUGGAAUAUUGCUCCUAUCCUUCUUUCUUUCUCUUUUUGGAAGCAAUUCUACUGCAUCUUCAACAUUCUUCUACUUUGUUGUCAAUCCUUCAUCUUCUUCUUUAUCUUCAAGAAGGAGUUCCAAUUUCCCUUGCAAUUCUCCAUCAGCAGCUUGAAGAAAUAGAUCAACUUUGUUUGGCUCCAUUGUCAAUUUUUCUACCUUCGAUAAUUGAGAGUACUGCCUCUCAAAUUUCCUUAGUAGCUCUGUUGCUUGCAAAUUCUUAUUAGGCCAUUCAAUCCAUUCCAGAAACAGCUUCUUAGUAACGCGAUCACCAUCUUCUAAGAAAUAUUUGUCUUUUAAUGCAUGUGAAAAAACCUCCCAUAAAUUCCCAUAAUAAUUUGUAAUCGAUGUAAUAUGGUCUCUUAUCUCUAGUAUUGUAGUAAGUCCAAAUAAUUCAACCAUUUUCUUCUCAAAAAUUUGAUUUAAUUCCAUUUCAUAAACAUAACAUCUUAAAUACCUUGAAAUAUUCCUUCCAUCAAAUUGAUCAAUUUGAUUGACCAGUGCUUGCAAUGCUUUGGUUGCCAAAGCUUCUUUUCGAUCAUUGCUUUACUAUUGCUGCAUUGAUAAUGAGAAGGCUUGAAACAUACUAGCAAUAGAUGGAUCCAUGUGCAUACCUUGUUCUUUAGAAGAACCCCCACCAGAAACUCCUCCCAAAGGUCCUUCAAAAUUUUUAUUUUCGUUCUCUAUAAAAAUAAAAAUAAAAUCAAACAAAAUCCAAUACCUUCUACCUCAAGCUUUUACGUCGGAUUCACUACUUAUAUCAUAUUACGUGCUUUUCUGCUUGAGAACGCACCGGACAUCUGGCUAUAGAAGGUAGUAUGGAGAUUCGCUAAUGUUCAAGUAGUCUAUUGAUUUUUGAUUAUUGGAAUAUAAACGAUCGUAAGAAUAUAUCAUAAAUCUAUAUGGAUGUCCUUCGACUGCUCGCCAAAAUCCUUUUUGUCCCAGCCGAUAGGUCUCUAGACAUUACAGAGAACCCCGAACAAUCCAAUCUGCUAAUCUCUGAUACCGCUUUAUACUCACGACCUUGUAUCCAGUGACUGACUUGUUAGAUUAACCCAAAUAUUUUCAUUCACUUCGCAUACUCAAUCCUAUAGACACCCUUUUAUUUCUUCAAUCAUAGAUGUAACUUCGAUUUCACAAAACAGUUAAGAGUAAUCACACCCACUUCAUUAGAACCCUGAUUCACUAGUACAACACUGACUUCUGCAACGAUUGCCUCAGUUUUUCUAAAACCCUAUGAAGAAAAAAAAAAAAUCCCAAUUCUCUGUUUUUUUUCUCUGAAGCAUGAAGCUAGCUCUCCCCCCUUAAAACCUUGAUUUUUCCCCCUUCAUUUCUUAACCUAUCCUCUCCUUUAAUCCUAAUUCUCUCAUCUUUCAAAUCCUAGCCUUUGAAUUUCUUCAAUCUUCUAUCUUGGAUCUGAAAUUGGCUCCGUCGUCAGAGCUUUCUCCUCUAUUUUUUGCCUUUUAAAAGGUUCUUUUUUCAGAAACAACAUUCCGUGAAACGGCACAGAGAACAGGAUAGCCUGAAACAGAAUCAAAACUUCCGUAAUCGGGACCACAUUGAGUCACCCGACCAAAUCAGGUCUCAUAUUGGCUAAGAGGCCCGUAGUAAGAUCUGGAUGUUCCCAUAAUUGGGUCAAAUUGGUCCUUCGCGUUAGGCUUGCUCAGUCAUCAAUUUAGUCCUUUCGAUUCUGUUGACUCCCACUAUUGGACUCGAAUGGAGUAUUUUGUUACUGGUAAGUAUGCCCUGAUCGACUGUGAUGGGGUGUCUGAACUGGCCCUUGAAUAUUGGCACUGGAAUCGAUCGUUGCUCCCAAUAUUCGAGGUAAUUGAAUAUUAAUAAAAGUCUCCUUUCUUUAUAUUUUCACAGUAUACUCAUGUUACAAUAUGACACCGUCGAUCUUAACUCAAGUUUUACAUACUUUUAAAAAAAUAAGUUAAAAACAAGCACAAAAAAAUUAAAAAGGAUCGGAGUACCAAAUUGAUGAUAACCUUAAAAAUAUGUUCGAGUAUUGGCCGGCCUCCUUCUCCAAUCUUGAUGCCAAUCUUCCAGAGCCAAUAUCUCUCUUUUGUACCGUUCAAUUGAUCUCAAAAUUUUCACACAUAGGAAAAAAAGUCUUAUAUCCUCUCACAUAAGUUUCACUCCAAUCCAAUUAAUAGAUUGCAAGAAAUCUUAAAAACCCCCACUAGACCUAAAAUUCUACUUUUUAAGACCUUGACCCACUUAAACGUCAAUUUUCCUCAAUUCAACCAUUAGAUCGAGCUCAAAUUUAUGACACAUAUUAAACACAACUAUAACCAUAAACCCACAAAAUUUCACUCAUAGAUCUAUUACAAAACUCUUGAAAUCACCUAAAAUAUAAACCCUAAUUUAUUUCAUAAAAUCUAAGUCAUCCAAAACAAACCUUGACUUUGCAAAGCUCUUACAAAGUCAUAUCAACUCCAAAUCAUCCAAAAUCAAUGCUCAUAGAGAGCCUAUUCAGUCUGCUAUCAAAGCUCACUCUUCAAUCUUCAAAAGAACCCCAGAGUCGUCAUCGAGAAUCAGUUUUGUGCCUCAGGGUCUGAUUUCGACUCUGGUUCAUAACCGGCCCUCUUUAGGUAUCAAUAUCUAGUUUUUUUAAGUAAUUUUUUUUAGAAUUUACUCUUAACUUCCUCCUAAAGAUAUCUGUACUAUUUAUUUUUCCAAUCUAACUUAUUUUGCCUUACUUAUGGUACAACAAAGUAAGUAGAAGUUAUCUCUCUAAAAGGUAGCAUUGGUACCUUUUAAUUUUUCUACCACUUUGACUAUUAACUAUAUUUCUAAGAUAAUUUGUUCUAAUACUUUGAACUAGGAUCUCUUAAAUUAUAAUAAUCUCUAUACUCUUUCACCUAUUAGUUAUAUUAUAUCACGACAUCAUAUUGUCACAAAUCGGAACAGAUGAUAAAUUUCAUCCAAUAGCUUUUCAUUCUAGAAAAUUUACAGUAGUUGAGAUGAACUACAAAAUCCACAACAAAGAACUUCUUGCAAUCAUAGAUUCAUUUCAAGAAUGGUGCCAUUAACUAGAAGGUGCUUCUAACCUAGUCACAGUGUAUACGGAUCACAAGAACCUUGAAUAUUUUAUGUCAGUACGUAUUUUGAAUCAUUGCCCAACCCGUUAGAGUAUGUCUUUCUUAAGAUUCGAAUUUAAGAUCACUUCUCGACCAAGAAAAAAACAAGUUUUGUCAGAUGCACUCUUUAGAUGAUCUUAUCUUGCACCAAAGGAAGGAGAUGCUACUUUUUAUCAACAACGAACAAUUCUCUUGAACCCAGAGCAUCUUCAUCUUCGAGCAAUGAAAUCAAUACUACUAUUGAUUCAACUUUCAUUAAGCAAGUUCAGUCAAGUAUGUCUUUUGAUCUUCUUAUUCAUGAUAUGGAGAGAAAUCCUUCAAAGUCUCAUGAUACUUCUAAGUUUGAAUUCUAUAAGAAUCUACUAUAUUUUGAGGGAUGCCACUAUGUGUUCUUCAAGCUCAUCAUGACUUUUCAACAGAAGGACAUUUUGGGUACAAUAAAACUUUCGAACUAAUAUCCAAGGACUUUUGGUGGCCACAAAUGUGGAAAGCAGUCAAAGAUUUUGUACAAUCUUAUGAUGUUUGCUCAAGAUCAAAAACUCCUCGUCAUUGACCUUACGGACUUCUUCAGCCAUUAUCCAUUCUAGAAUAAUCAUGGUCUUCUAUUUCUAAAGAUUUCAUCACGGAUCUUCCAAUCUCAAGUUUUUAUGACUCUAUAUUCAUGAUAGUGGAUUAUUUUACCAAGAUGGCACAUUUUGUAUCAUAUAUAAAAUCUAUCACAGGUGAAGAAAUAAUUAAGCUCUUUCUUGACAAUAUCUAUCGCUAUAAAAGAUUAUCCAAGGAUAUUAUAUCAGAUAGGAAAACUCAAUUUGUAUCAAGAUUUUGGCGGACUCUUUUUAAGAUUCUAAAAGUGGAUAUAAAACUAUCUUUAACAUUCCAUCCUCAAGCUGAUGGAAAAAUAGAGCGUGUUAAUCAAGUUUUGGAGCAAUAUUUAAGAUGUAUCAUUAACUACCAACAAGAUGUUUGGACAACUCUUUUACCAUUGGCAGAAUUUGCUUUCAAUAACAUGGUACAUCUUUCUACAAAACAAACACCUUUCUUUGCUAAUUAUGGUUAUCAUCCAUGAUAUGAUACUUAUGACUUUUCAAAAGUUGAUAAUCUUACUAUGAAAGAUUUGGCAAUUCAUUUGUCAUAGCUACAUGCAAUGAUAAAGGCGAAGUUAAAAGAAGCUCAAGAACAACAAAAGGUUAAUGCGGAUGUCUAUCAAAAGAAACAACCACCAUUCUACAUCAGCGAUAAGGUAUGAUUACUUCGUCAUAAUAUCAAGAUCACUCAUCCUUGUGACAAGUUGGAUUAUUGAAGGCUUGAACCAUUUUCUAUUUCUACACAAAUCAAUCCAAUUGCAUAUCGUUUACAUCUAGUGGAGUUAAUGAAAAUCCAUCUAAUAUUCUAUGUGUCUCUUCUUGAACCAUACAUGACAAUGGACAUACCAAAAAGAAGACAAUCUCCACCUCCUCCUAUAGAAGUAGACAAUAAUAAAGAAUUUGGAGUAGAGGAAGUCUUAGAUUCAAGGCUGCGCCAAAAUAAAUUAGAAUAUCUUGUCCAUUGGUACGGAUACGAUAUUAGUGAAUACACAUGGAAGCUAAUAAAGAAUCUUAUAAAUAUAAUAAAGGUGGUGGAGGCUUUUUAUUAAUGAUAUCUAUCAAAAUCUAGAUGAAAAUCUUCUUUAUAAAAGAAAUAAGAUCUAGCCAAGAUAUCAUUCUAAUUUCAAUCCUUGUUUGUAGCUUCUUUAUAGUUGUGACACUCAAGAGAUGGAGAACCAAUAACUAGAGGAUUUGACGUAAGAGCCUUCGUUUACUGACCUACCGAAUGAGACAUUAUAAUUGUUUCAACCUUCAAGUCGAUGCAAUCGAGAUGAAGAUCUUCAAGAACGACAUGUUCUUCCUCAAAUUGAUGGCGAGAUACAAUGCAUUUGGUAUCAUGACCUUGGAAAGGACUCUUGAUGUUUGGUGAUUUUACUAGAGGUAGGAACAAUUCCUGAUGGUGUUCCAAAUAUUUUAUUUGAUUGAAGUUAUAAAGGCCUCAAUAAUGAUCAAAUAACUAGGUGGUCUUCCCGCCUUGGUCUGGGACAUUACCAAUGGUUGAGAGGCCCUAUCAAUCAUCUUCGAAGAGAACAAAGAUCAAAGUAUGUAGUAAAUAGAAUUUAUUGUAUCAUAGAUUUUUUCAACAUAUGAUGAUCGCUCAUCGUGGAACUUGUCCCUAGAAGGAGGGGUAAUGUCAUGGACAUACACAUGUAAGCCAAUAAUUAUAUGUAUAAAUAGAUAGAAGUAAGUAAAAGUAGAUAAAAAUAAGUUAAUUCUAUAGUAUUUGGUAUACAAGCUUCUUAGAAGCUUUAUGGACAUUGCUUUGACUUUAUAAGUAUCUUUAUAUGACUUUUUGGAUUAGAAACGUGGUCAAUAAGUUGGCCACGUGCUACACAUGUUGCUAGCUUGAAGACCAAGCUAACUAUGUGGUCCACACGUAGAAAAACUUGCCUUGUAAGUUAAGGCAUGAGUCCUACAAAGUCAACACAUAUUGGAGGUCUUAUAGAACGCCACCAUGUAGCACCUAGUUAGAUAGUAUAUAUAGAGACAAGAGUGAAGCCUUCUUCAUUCAAAUCAACUCCUUUCUUGUUUCUAGUCUAGUUUCAAGGGUCUCUAGUUUUCUUGACUUUUGGCAAUAGCCAUUUCAGAUUCUUUCUUAAUAUAUAUAUAUAUAUAUAUAUAUAUAUAUUAAGUUAUUUCUAUUUUUUCAUCUUUCUAUGAAAAAAGUGUCAUUUAUUUAUUUAUCUUUAUCAUGUUCUUGUCUUUGACAUAUAAUUAGACAUAGGUCAGAUAGGUCGACAGAAGAAAUACACAAUGUGAAUAACAUGUUGUCGUUAUUACUAUUAUAUAAAAGAAUAGGAAUGGAGCAUCAAUUUAAAGUAAUUCUAAUAUGUCACAUUCUGUUGUUAUUUUUGUGUUACAAAUUUUAUAUUUUGAGAGUAUUGGAGAGUAGCAUUGCAUGGUAUGAGCAUUGGAUACAGAGGGCAAUGUCAAAUAGGAAUUGGAAGCAAGUAAAAAAGUGAUAUUGGAAUAGAAGCAAAGAAUUGUAGAAAAAGAACUGAUCAUCUAGGUGAAUAGAGAAUCCAAGUUGACAUUAGAAUGGAGAUUUUUAUAGAAACAAGAAGCUUGGACGAAAGAAAAAGAAUACAUCUUUAAGAACGUGGAAGAUCAAUAUAAUGAAUUGGUCCAAAAUUUUCAGACAUGGGAUUUGGAAUGAGAGAAAGUUAGGUGCCAAUUGCAUGCAGAAUAGAAAAAGAUAGAGUUCUUAGCAUAAGAAAAAGUGGUAUUGAAUGACCAAUAUAGAUGUGAAACAAAGUGGUUAAGGGCUGAAAUUGAGGAAUUGAAUGUUGAGGUGACAAAAUUGGCAAAUGAUUUUGUCAAUAUUAGUCAGUUACAACUAUCAAUGAUGUCAGUUUUCAAAGUUCCAAAAUGGAUGAUUUAGCAUUAGCACCAAUUGGAAUUGAAGGAUGCCCAAAUCUUAAAAUUCGAGGCUCAAGUCCAUGAAUUGGGUGAGUACAAUGAAGACCUUUCAACCUAGUUGAGGAAAGAGCUGAUAGAAGGAUUGGAGGAGAAUAAAAGUUUACAUUUGGAACUAGAAUUGGUGGAACUAAUAACAGAUAAUGCGGUAGUUGAUCAAUUGGGUAGGCCAAAGGAAUAGCAAUUUGGUAGAGUUUUAUUUAGUAUUUUUUAGAUAUGUAUUAAUCUUGUGUUUGCAAGGAUGCUGUACAAUUAAGAGUGGGGCUAUGUAAAUAGAGUAGAAAUUUAUUUUUGUAAAAUAUUAAUAAAAUAGAUUAAUCAUUCCUAUGAUAGUCAAUUCAAUAAGAUGGAUGAUUGAAUUAAUUAUAAAAAAAUAAUUAAGUAGAAAAUGAUAGUUAGAAUAUAGAAUUUCAAAAGUAAAGCAUAAAUAAGUUGAAGAAGAUAUUGUAAGGGCCAGACUCUGAUAGACAUGAGUUAGGGUAAGAUUGGUACUACUUCUUUGUUUUUUUAUUGUUGAAGAGUAAUGGAUAGUUUUUGAAUACUGAGAAGUAAAUCUAUGGAAUAAAUUAGAGAUUGAUUUAUGAGUUAUUGAUUAUGUAAUUGGAGUACUAUGUGAUUGAAUUAUAUGAGGAGUUAUUGGAAGAUUAAUUAUAGAUGGAAGAUUAUGAUUGUUGUUUAUUAAGAGUUGUGUGUGUUUUGAAAUAGGAAGUCUGUGAUUACAAAAAUCGUGUGAAUCUAGAUUGAUUGGAGUGAAGUCUUUUAUUUCUAGUGUUAGAUGGAAUUUAUGUGUUUUGAGCAGUCUUUUGAGAAUGCAGGAUUGUACAUUGUUGUUAUCAAUUGAUGAAGGAGUAUUGUUACUAGAAGAAAGUAUUGUAGUGUUUCUUAAUAUUUUAGUGGUUUAGAUUAUAGUUAAUUAUGUAACCCUAAUGUAUAAGCUCAUGUGAUAGUCUUUUUUUGUGUUCAAAUCUCCUUCUAUAGAUUUAUUCUAGAAGGAAUUUGUAGAAUAAGUAAAAUGAUAACUAGAAUUUAUUUCUAUAAAGAAUACAUUAAAAAAGUUGAUGCAAUAAAAAGUUGGUAAAAAAGUAAAUUCCUUCUUCAAAGCAACAAACAAUGCUUCAACUUUUUUAUUCCAUUGAUGUUUGUCUUUACAAAUCAAACAUGUUAGUAGAGCUACAACUUAAAAAAUAUUCUUGAUAAAGAUUUGAUAAUAAUUAAUAAAGCUCAAAAAGAAUUGCACAUCUCUUAUUAUUCUUAGAAUCUUCUAAUCUAUGAUAGUUUGGACCUUCUUUAGAUCCAUCAUAAGAUCUUCAUUGAAAAUGAUAUAUCUUAAAAAAUCAACUUGAGUAGUACAAAAUAUAUACUUUUUCAUCUUUGUGUAUAAUCCUAUAUCUCUUGGUUUUUGUAAGACACGAAAAAUAUGAAUUUCAUACUUUACUAUGUUCUUAGAAUAGAUUAAAAUGUCAUCUUAAUAAUAGACAAAAUAAACAUCAAAAAAUUCAUAAAAGACAUCAUUCAUAAGAUGUUGAAAAGUAGUUGGUGUAUUAGUGAGUCCAAAAGGCAUGACAUUAUAUUCAAAAUAUUCAAACCUAGUUUGGAAAGUAGUCUUCCAUUCAUCUCCUUCUUUGAUGUGGACCAAGUUUUAUGCUCUUUGUAGAUCUAUUUUUGUAUGGAUCUUUGCUUGAUUUAAUUCAUUAAGGAGUCUUGAAAUGAAAGAUAGAAGAUACCUAUUCUUGAUGGUGAUCUUAUUAAGUCCUCAAAAAUUUACGCACAUUUGCAAAGAUUUAUCUUUUUUCUUCAUAAAUAAAAUAGAAGUAUCGGCUAGAGAUUUAGAGUGGCAUAUAAAGUUCUUAGCCAAAUUUUCAACAAUGUAUUUUUUCAAUGUAGCCAACUCAUUUUGUGAUAGUCUAUAGAUUGGUCCAAAUAGUGGUUGAAUUUUUUUUUUGAAGAUCGAUGGUACAAUCAUAAAGAUGAUGCUUUAGAAGAAUAUUUGUUUUUUUUUUUUUAAAAAAAAACAACUUGAAAAUCUUGAUACUUACAAAGAAUAUUACUUGAUAUCUUCUCACUAUUAACAAUAAGUGUGGCAUAUAUAGCAAAAUAUGGCCUUUUAUUUGUCACAUGCAUGAAAACUUUUGAACCUAUUAAUAAGGGUUUGGAUAUACUAGAUUUACGGAUUUCUACUUGCUUAGUAGGACCUUGGACUAAACUAUAGAAAAAAUCAAGAUUUCAAGAAAUCUAGUCUAUCUAAGGGUUAUAUCUUUCUAACCACAAUAAUCUUAAAAUGAUUGGAUUAAAAAGAGACUUAAUGACAUUAAAUAUUACUAAACUAUUAAGACCACUAGUUGCUACUUCUAUAGAAAAAGUUUUAUAUAUAAUAUCUCAAAAGAUAAUGAACAUUCAUCUAUUACUUCAACAUGCACAAUUUUGAUUUUCUUAACUAAAGAUAUAUCUUGUUUUUGAUAAAGUCUUUAUUUAUAAAAUAAGCUGAGGCUCUUGAAUCCAAUAAGGCUAAGACUUUGUGAUUUUUUGGUCAUAAAUAGACUUCUAUUGUAAAAUAAAAUGAGAGAUCAGAUGAAAGAAUAGAAUCUUUGUUAGAUAUUGCAUAUGAUUCUAACUGCAUGAUUCCUAUUGUAGUUGGAACAACUUGUUUUCUGACAUAUUAUCUUCUUUGGCAAUCAUGCUUCUCAUUUUGUAAUUACGUUGUUUUUUUGGAUAAUGUUGAAGAGUAUGUUUAACUUCUUUAUAAAAUAAGUAUAAGCCUUCUUGACAUCGUUGACUCUUUUUCUACUUUGUGAGGGAUUUAAAACAUAUUGUAUUAAUUUGCAUUGAUUUUGGCUUUGAAAAAUAAGUUUUUAAAAAUUUAAAUUGCCAUUAUUAUUUGAUUUAUUCUUCUCUAGCCAUAUCUUUAUUCUUGAUGUCUUUCAAAUAAUCGAUUGUCAUAUGCAAUAGCUUGAAUAAUAAAUUAGUUCAAAUAUUUUAUCUUUAAUAUUAUGAGUAACAAGUCUUUGACAUUAUCCUUCAACCUAUAUCAAAAUUGAUUGAUAAGGGCUUUGUCGUUCUUGUCCAUAUUGUAAGUAAGAUUUUGGAAUUCAGUAACAUGUAUGGGGACUAACCGUGAUCCUUACCAUAAAAAUAAGAACUUGAUCUUUGCUACUCUUUUUUGAUCACUUUCUCCGAAUGUGACCGUAAACACUUCUAGGAAUGAAUUCAAAUCAUAAAAGAGUUGUAAAUCUUUUUCUAUUAAAGGUAAAAAUCAAAAAAGAGAACUUCUUGAUAAAAGUGUGUCUAUGAAUCCGACUUGAGUAAAUCCAUCAAGGUAUUGGAAAGAGUGCAAUCUUAGAUAAAGCUUGACUUGUUGUAAAAAUUCUCAAAAUUUUGAUCUUGUUCCAUCAAACUUCUCAUGCAUACUAAUUGUGAGCUCCAAAUUAUGUUCCAAGAUUAAAUUUUAUAUAUUUUCUUAUAUUUUGUAGUAAUUGAACAAAUUAGAUCAUAAUUUAUAUAAGUAAAAUCUAGUUUUAUAGAAUUUUGAGGAUUAUAACCUUUGAUGGUACAAAUCUUAACCUAAUUCUUUAAAUUUGAUUAAUUAGUACCAAAAUCAUAGACUUUAAAAAAUUAGAAUAGCAAGUUAAUUAAUUUUAGUAAUUUAGAAUUUAUAAUCAUUGCUAUAAGAAUUGAUUGAGAGCCUAUGAAUUCACUUACAAUCAUCUCAUAUGAUUUAGAGUGAAUUAAAAACAUAAGCUUCUAGAAGGAUUCUAGUGAAAAUUAACAAAGGCAAUUUGAAGUUUUUUCUCCUAAAUUAACAAAUUGAAGCAACAAGGUGGCUUUACUAAUUAAUGGAAGCCUUCCAAAUGCAAUGGCGGCAUUGGAUUUGCCUCAUGGAGUGAAGAAAACAAGAUCAGCACCUCUCCACCAAGUUACAAGUGGAGCCAUGAAGAUGUCAUUUUUGAAGGAAUUUUCAAUAAUUGCCAAAAUUCUUGGAGGUAAAAAGUUCAUAAAAAUUACAAAUGAAUGUGGGUUGAGAUAGAUGAGUAGUCAAUCUUAUCAUAAAAAGAGGUUUUAAACACAAUGGUGAAGUUAGAUUUACAAAAAAAAAAAAAAAAAAAAAAUGACCACUUACAAGAGCCAUCAGUCUUAGUGAUGGGAUUAGCUCUUUGAUGAAUGAAGGCCAUAAAUCUACAUUAGGGAUAUUAGAGAUCAAGAGUGGAGAUGUGGCCACCCUCCCACAAGCCACCACUCAAUAGUAUAAGAGUGGCUUGGUUUUCCAAGCCCUCUCUCUCUCUCUCUCUCUCUUUUGAUGAAGAGCAAAGCCAUGCCAAAUCUUGGCCUAAAACUCUAAUUCCAAUUUCAUUUUGGAUCCUAAUGCUCAUUGUGCACCUUGUGAAUGUAAGAUCAUUGAUUUUGUGUUGUAGGUGGUGCUUAUUGUGGUUUAGAAGGCACUCCCUUAAAAUUAGUGGUUUCCAAAUACUUCCAUAGUUAAGUGGGUUUGAAGGGCUUCGGAUUUUUCCCAACCAGUCUUUGGUCUUUUUAAUUUUUGUAGUGAAUUUUUUUGAGCACAUAUCUCUUACUAUGAGCUUUUCAACGAGCUUAAGCUUGCUCAAUUUGGAGGUAGAACAAUUUUUUUGUGAAUUUUUGAGUGCGAGGGGGUCGGCUGCCUUGGCAGUUUGGGUCACUAGUCUUUGAAAAGACAUUUCUCAGUGCUAUUUAAUUAAAACAUUCUGAAAUUUUCAGAAUAAGAGCACAUACAAGUUUAGCUUCCAAUGACGCAAGUUUGAUUACGUUUUAAGCAGAUCCAAAGUUUUGGUGCAUUUUGGAGUGAAGGGUGGUAAGCUGCCAUGGUGGUCUCAGUUAUUCAACUUUGAAGGAGCAGUGCGCAAGCCUCAGGUAUUGGAUUGCCACAAAGUUUCUUGAAGUAGGAGCGUCUUCAAGUUAGGUUUCCAACCAAGCAAAAAUCAUCAGAAUUGAAACUUAUACGAACGGUUGGCGAAUUUUGGAGUAGAAGGGAGUUGCUGCCCUAAAUUCUUGGUCGUUAUCAAGGUGCCUUCUCUGCAUCCCUCUUAGUUUUUAUUUUCUCUUUUAUUUUUACAGUAACUCGUAACUUCCACAUGUAAAAUUUGAACUUUAAAUUUUACUUAUUACUUUUAACUUUUAUUUUUUUUUUACUUUUUACUUAAUCGAUAAUUUUAUUUUUUAUUUUUUACUUUUUACUUAAUCGAUAAUUUUAUUUUUUAUUUUAAAUUUGUUAAAACUUAAACCUUUAAUUUUUACUUAAGAUUUUAUCUUUACUAUGGAUUAAUAAUAAUAACUUAAUUAAUUACUCUUACCACCAAUUAUUUAAGAAGUAAUAAUUUAUAUAUUUAAAAAUAAAUAAAAAUAAAAAAUAAAAAAUAAAAAAUAAAAUAAAAUAAAUAAAUAAAAAUAAAUAAAGUAUAAUAAAAAAAGAAAAAAAAAAGAAAAGAAAUUAUUUAAAACUAAAUUAUAUAAUUAGAAUUAAAAGAAAGAAUUUUUUUGCAUGAAGUUUAAUGAAUGAAUUAUCAUUGUGAAUGUGAAUAAUGAUUGGAAGAUUUAAUUAAUAACUUGGUAUUUUAAUAAUAACAACUAAUGAUUGGAUUAAACUUUGAAUAAUGGCCCUACCUAUAAAUUCAUGUUUACAUGUUAAUCUAACCUAGUUAAGUCAUUGAAUUUAUCUAACCUAGUUAAGUCACUUUUUAUGAACUAAAACAAACUUCCAAUUAGUAGAGGUUUAUUUGAGUUCACACUAAUUUUAUUUUCCAUCAUACUUAUAGAAGCAAAAUUCUUUGGAUUUGGUUGUGAGGUCAAUCUACUAGUGAAAGAUGAUAAUAUAGAUCUUAUUAUAGAAGACCCAAGUUAAAAGAUAAAGUAAAAAAAUAUAGAUAAAAGAUAGAAAGGUAAUAAAACUUUUAGUAGUAAUAUUGUCUUUUUAGAAAAGUGACUUCUACUUACUUUGUAGGCCAUGAAUAAAGAAAAACAAAGUAGAUUGAAAAAAUAAAUAAUAUAGGCAUCUUUAAGAAGAAGUUAAGAGUAAAUUCUAGCAAAAAUUACCUAAAAUAACUAGAUAUUUAUACCUACAGAGGGCUGUUUAUGAACCAAGGUAAAAAUCAGACCUUAUGGCACAAAAUUGAACUCCAAUGACAAUUUUGAGGUUCUUUGGCAAAUUAAAGAGCAAGAUUAGAGAGCAGAUUCGAAAAAAUUCUAAUGAAUAUUAAUUUGGAGUGAUUUGGAUUUGUAUUGACUUUGUGAAAGCUUUGUAAAGUUAAGGUUUGUUUUGGAUGACUCUAGAUUUGUAAAAUAAAAGGAGAGAUACUUUUUGGAGAAUUUUGUAAGUUUGGCAAUAGAUCCACAAAUAAAAUUUUAAAAAUUUGUAUGUUUAUAUGUGUUCAUUAUAUUCUAUGAAUUUGAGCUUGAUCGAAAGGUUGGAUCGAGGAUUAUUGAGGUUUAAAUGAGUGAGGGUCUUGGGAAGUAGAGUUUUAGGUCUACUAAGGAUUUCUAAGAUUUCUUAUAAUUUAUCAGUUGGAUUGGAGUAAAAAUUAUGUAUAUAGGUAGUAGACUUAUUUUUCUAUGUAUUUGAGAAAUUUAAGAUCAAUUGAAUAGUUUGAUAAGGAGAUAUUAGCACUGGAAUUUCAACAUUCAAAUUAGAAUAGGAGGCUGGCCAAUAUGAAAGCAAAUAUUAGGAUUGAUCUUUUUUUUUUGGUGAGUUCAAUCUUCUUCAAAAAAUAUUUGCUUGUUAUUAAUUUAAUAAUUAAGAAGUGUACACAUUUUGAAUUAAAAUCAAUGGUUCAUUGAUUAGUUAUUGAGGUUUGAAUCUUUUGUAGGAAUUACUUGGAUUUAUUUAGGGUUUGGUUAGGGUAUGUUUAGGAAUCAAUUAAGGUUUGGUUAAAACUUAUUUAGUAUUUUUUUAGUAUUUGAUUAGAAUUUGAUUAGGAUUUAUUAGGAUUUGACUAGGAUUUAAUCCUAGUCAAAUGCUCAAUGUAUUUUCAAGCCAAAUGCCACGUAAUAUAAAAAUGACUAAUAGGUGAAAGGGUGAAGAAAACAUCAUAUCUUUUAAGAUCUUAUUUCAAAUAUAUUUUAAAAAAUUAUCUUGAAAAAAUACAUAAUAGUCAAGAAAUAGAAAAUUUAAAGGUAUUAAUGCUAUUUUUUUUGUAAAAUCCUUAGGAUUGAUUUCAAUUUGUUUAAGGUUUAAAAUUUGUCUAAGGUUUGAUUUAGGAUUUAAGAUUUAUAUAGGAUUUGGUUUAAGAUUUAGGAUUUAUCUAAGAUUUUAUUUAGAAUUUAAUUAGGAUUUAAUCUAAAAUUUAAUUAAGAUUCAUUAGGAUUUCAAUUAAGAUUAAAAUAAGAUUUGAUUAAGAUUUAUUUAGAAUAUGUUUAAAAUUUCUUUAAUAUUUUUUAAAAAAUUUCUUCAUAUUUCUUUUGUAAUUUUUUAAAGAUUUGAUUAGAACUUGAUUAUUAAGAUUUAAUUAGAAUUUAUUUAGGAUUUUAUUAGAAUUAUUAGGAUCUUAUUAUUGUAAUUUCCCUUCUACCUUUUAUAGCCAAGUGCUUGAUGCAUUCUUAAGCAAGAUGUUACAUAAUAUAAUAUAUUUAGUGAAGUUGAUAUAAAAAGGUUGAGAUGGAAGCUAUUUGAAAUAUAGAAAAAGAAGACAAGAAAAUUGAAGGAGGAGUUAUGGGCAGUGCAUUGAUGGAAGCUACAAGUAGAAGUAUUGGUAGAGGAUAAGGUAUAUAUUUUGAUUCCAACUAUGCAAGUAUAUUUGAUACUUUUAUCUUAUUCAUGGAAUAACAAUAGGACAAAGAGAACAAAGAAGGUAUGGCAAAUAAAGCAUUAUAGGAAGUUGUUAAUAAGAUUGAUUAAUUUGAAGGAAAAGAAAUUACAAAGUAUUUAAGAUAUUAUAUAAAAAAAUUAAAUUGAAUCAUGUUUUAGAAAAAGAGAUGGUUUAAUUAUUUAAACUAGCUAUUGCAUCAGAGAUAAAAAAUCAUAUGAGGUCUAUUAUAGGAUAUUUUAGAGGUUCAUGGAAGAAAUUUUUUUAAGCAUUGAAGGAUGAAUCUGCAAUGCCAAAAACUAAAAGUUAGAUUAAUAUGGAAGACAAGGCUUGAUUUUAAGAUGUUGAAGUUAUGAAAAAGCAUCAAAAUAGAAUGCACAUCUUCAAGAUCUACAAAGAUAAAGAAGAUUGCAUAAGAAGCAUAUAUAAAUACUUGCACUAAAUAUAAUAAUGAUAGGUUAAAAAGUAAUAGCUAUUUAGUUCUUUAUUUGACAAGAGCUACUACAAAGACAUAUAUGAGGUUGAAAGAUUCUAAAGAUCCAAUUUUGGCCUUAAUUGAUCAUGGAUCUGAAAUCAACAUCAUAUCAAGGCAAAUAUAUGAGAAAAAUAAGUGACCAAUGAAUAUCAACCAUGGUUGAAUAAUUAGAAUUACAAACAACUAAGAAGUUGAUUGAUAUGGAGCUUGUCCAACUAUAAAGAGUAAGAUUGGAGAUGUAGAGGUAGAGCAAAAUUUCUUUGUACAAAAUUCUACAAUAUAUCUAGUAAUACUUAGUCAGUCAUAUAUUACAACUGCUAGAAUGGAGAUUAGAGUCUUGAAUAAUGAUUCACAUUAUUCCAUAAUUUGUAGAUGGAAUAAAAAAAAAGUAAUGUAAUUUAUUACUAUAAAACCAAUCUAUGAGAGGCAUAAGGAGCAAUUAAGAGAGAUGCUUUUGGAGUCAAAAAAUAACUUUGUAGAUUUUUAGAAAGUACCUUUGUAGGAUGGAAACACAUAGGUGCAAAUGAAUCAUCUACAAAUUCCAAUGUAUGUAACAUAAGUUUGGAUUUUUGAAUUUGCCUAGUGAUGAAUUUAUGAAUAUUCAAAGUAUUAAAGAUUUAGAUCCUAUAAAUAAAAGAAGGAUGAAGAAAUAAGUAAAAAACUAAAAAUAAUGGAUUUAAUUCAAAUAAUAAAGCCAUAGUUGGAAUAAUAGAAUAUAUAGAUUUAAAAGAUGAUUUGAUAAAAAAAAUUAAAAAAUUUAGAUAUAAGCAUGGAUAGAAAUGCUAUAAUAGAAAUACAUUCAAGAAGGACUUAUGAAGAGUUAAAGAAAUUGGUAGGAAAUGGUAGAUUUGCUAUAAGCUAUGGAUUGUAAUAUGAGGUUACAAUUCAAAUUAAAUAUAAAAAUGUGAAAAGAAAGAUAAAAUAUGUAAUAAUCUAGUUACAAAUUCAUAAUGUAGAACAUAUGAAGUAAGUAUUUGAUAAAUAAAAUUAAAGAAAGAAGCACAAAAUUAGACAUUAAUUUAUUCAAGAAUCAUUAGCUAAGUUGGAGAUUAGAGGAGAUAUUUUCUUGACAUCAAUAGAGGAAAAUAUAUUUUGAAAAAUACUUAUUAAAUAUAAUAAGGUAUUUUCCUUAAUUUCUAAUGGAAUUAGAUUUGUGGAUCUUAGUAUUAUAGUAUCUAUGGUAAUCUUUAUAAUAUCACAUAUUCCAUAGGAUUUAAAGCCUCUGCUUGUGCCUAAAACUUUAUUUCCAAAUUUGAUAGAAUUAUUAAAAGAAAAGGUGAAGAUGGAUAUUUUGGAACCUUCAAUUGCUCUUUAUUGUAAUAGAUGGUUCAUAGUAUCUCAGAAAUCAAGGACAUUAAGGUUCAUUUAGGAUAUGCAACUAGCAAACAAAGUGACUAUUCAAAAUAUAGAGUCAGAUCUUAUAAUAGAUAAAGUGGCUUAAUAAUUUGAAAGUCAUACUAUUUAUUCUAUUAGAGACUUAUAUUUUGGAUAUAACCAAUUUCAAUUGGUUGAAGAGAGUAGAGAUUUAACCACUAUAAAGAUUCUUUUAGGUUUAAUGAAGAUGUGUACUUUAUUUUAAGGUGCAACCAAUUCAAUGGCUCAUACACAAAAUACUAUGAAUCAAAUAUUGAAAGAAUUUGUGGCUGAAAAAAUCAUUCCAUUUUUGGAUGACAUACCUAUAAAAAAAAUAAAAAAGAAGAUAAGAAUGAGAGCAUCAAAGUUGAAGGUUACAAAAAAUUUAUCAAAAGAUAUAUUAAAGAUGUGGCUAAGAUAUUAGAGAGAUUGGAGUUAAUAAAUUUUACAUUAUCUUUGGAAAAAUCAAGCUUUGGAGUUGAUGAGAUUAUAGUAAUGAGAUACAUGUGAGGCAAAUAUGGCAAAAAAAUCAAACCAUGAUAAAGUUAAUGCUAUAUCUAGAAUGAAGGCUUAUAAAAGUAUUAUAAAAGCCACAAGGUUUUUAAGGGCAUGUAUAUUCUAUUACAUAUGGAUGUAUCACUUUAACCAUAUCUUAGAGCUAUUAUACAAGUUAUUAAAGAAGGAUAAGAAAUUUGUUUGAAAAGAAGAAUAAGAGAUAGUUAUAAAAAAUCUAAAAAAGAUGUUAAGUUCUUCACUAGUGCUUAGAUAAGUGGAUUAUCAAUGUGAAAGAUCAGUAGUUGUAAUAAUGGAUAUAAGUCCUAUAGCAAUUGGAUGGACUAUUAGUUAAGAUGAUGUAAAAGAGAGAAGAUUUGCUAUAAGAUUUGGAACCGAGGUUCUUACAAAGAAGCAAAAGACUUAUCCACAAAUUAAAAGAGAGGUUUGGAAAGUAUUCACCAUACUAAAGGUUGAGAGGAAUUAUUUGAUAGGAGUAAAUAUGGUUUUGAAAACAAAUUAUUUACCAUUACUUAGAAUAAUAAUUAACUUCACUAUUCUAGUUGGAAUUUAGAGAUAGGUUGACACAAGAUUGGUCCAUUUCAAAUAUCCAAGAUCUUUUUAAUCCAUUGCAAUAUAAAAUCUCAUCACAAAUAGGAUAAAAUAAACCAAAACCAACUAAACAAAACUAAACAAAAUGGGAAUUAAUUGGAAUUAGAAUAAAAUAAAAUAAAACAAAAUAAGAAGUUAUAAAAUCCAUUUGUAUUAAAAAAAAGGAUCUGAAGCCAUACUUGAUUUGAUGAUCCAAAAGGCCUUGGUUAGUCUUAUUAUAUUUUAUUCUAUUACCCUCGACUUUCUUAGUUGAUGGACCCUACUUAGAUAACUAUCUUAAACUCUUUCUAGAAGGUUUUGUGAUAGAUUCUACGUAAAUAGCCACCCUAAGUCUUUUCUAGAAGGUUAUAUGAUAGGCCCUACCUAAAUAAUCAUCCUAAAUUCUUUCUAGAAUGUUCCAUGUUGGAUCCUAUUUAAUCCACUAACCUAAUCUCAAUUCUAAAAACUUCCAUAAUUUUUCAAAUAUGGUUCUAAUUACUUAUAUUUAUGUGUCAAUAAUAUAAAUAUCUUAUUUAUGCCUUGUUAUAGUUUAUCCUCCUCCACUUAUGCAAAACGUCCUUGUUUUGCUCUAGAUGGUAUUUCCAAAUUGUCUCUUAAUAAUAGAUGAAGUUUUGUGCAGGUUCCCAUGUUGCAUCAUGGAUAGAAUAAACUUUCCAAAGAACUUUGUACUAAAGUUGGGGAUGUCCACUACCAUGGUGAAGGUAGCAAUGCUCCAAAAUGAUGUCCACUUCAUAUUCUUAUUAGUCAUCAAUUAUAACUAGUAGUGGUGGUAGUUGAUGUCAAUCUAGAAAGUGCUUUGGCUUAGUAUGAAAUUCCUUCAAUUGUAAAAUGUAAAAGACUGUAUAGACCCGAAUAUGUAGCAAAAGCUCAAGGCAAUAUGUGAUAUCAAAAAUCAUUACAAAAUGUGGAAAGGUCUAAGCCACCAAGGAACUAGUUUAAAAAUUUGGAUUGAUAUAACAAGUGACAAGUUGGCAUUGGAGAGUAAUACCUCAUCACCUUUCUAAAAGAUCUUAUGUUGCCGAUGAUUAUCUCCAUAUUGCUUCUAUUAAUUUUAUAGAAUAAAGAGGUAGUGUCGUACUUCUUGCAAGGCUAUUAUAAAUUGUUGUAUAAAUUUUUUUAUUGUUGACUUGUUGGUAUUAAUAAGAUAAUAGAGUAUUGUAGGUAUAAUCAGAUGCUAACCAAUAUUAAAAAUAAAAUGGUGAAUAACCAGUACUUGCUUGAAUACUAUCAUUGAAAGUAAACUCCAAGGGCAUCAAAUAUACAUCCCAAUCAUUAUGAUGAACCACCACAAAUACUUGCAACAUAUCUUUUAAGGUCUGAUUUAUACAUUCUAUUUGUCUAUCUCUUUGAAAAUAGAAGGCUGUAGACAUGGUAGGUCAUGUGCCUAAUAGCUUGAACAAGGCUUCCCAAAAACUUCUUAUAAAGUAUAGAUCUGGAUUUAAAAUGAUGAUAUAAGAUAAUCUAUGGUGACAAAUGACAGUAUCAAAGUAGACUCAUGCAAGUACUAAGGCAUCAAUAUUUAAGCACAUUAUGGCCAAGUGAAGUUGCUUCAAGAGUUGAUCCACAAAGAUAGCAAUCGUGAUAUGAUUAUGAGGUGUCUAUAACAAAUAUGUAAUAAAAUCCAUAGUCACUUGCUUUCAAUGUCUUGUAGGUAGCAAAAUUGGCUACAAUAAUCUAAAAGACAUUGUAUUACAUGCUUUAUUAUAUUGACAUGACUUGCAAGAGCAUAUAAAAGCUUAAACAACAUGAUUCAAACUUGUUCAAAAUCAUAUCUUUAAAAAUCAUUCAAGAGUCUUUUUUUGCCCUAAAUGUCUAAAUAUUAGAAUAUCAUGUUUUUUUUGAAAUAUGUUCAUCCAAAGUAUAGUAUUAUUGGAUAUAUAUAUUUUUUUUUUGAAAUAAAGCAAGCCAUCAUUAAGAUUGUAAUCUUAAUACCAUAUAUUGUUUAUCUUCAGUUGAUCGUUCAUCAUCUUAAAAUAAGUAUCCUAAUGCAUAGCUUCCUUCCAUUCUAUCUCUUUGAUUAGAUUUGAAAUGACACUACUAAUGGUAGUGACUUUUACCUUCUUUGUUGAUUUUUCUUUUAAGUCUAGUCUCCACAAUAAGCUGUUUGGUAUAGUAUGUUGUUGCCUUUACUUAUAUUCAAGCUAGAUAACAAAAAGUUGUAACUGUUCUUUCCAUCAAUGAUGUCAUGAUUUCAUAUUUUUUAGAUGUAAAUCAUUUAGCAAGGUCAAUGGUUAAUCCAAAUAAUCAAUGGCUUCUUCAAUAAAUAGUGUCGCUAUAUCUUUGUAAUAUAAAUAAUUGCUAAGUGCUCUUGAUCAUAUAUAGAGUAAUUGCACUUUGUCCUUCUGAAUUUGCAUGAUUCAUAUACCAGAGAUUGAAGGCCUUUACCAAAGUCUUAUUGAAGGACCACUCCAAUAGCAAAGUCAAAAGCAUCAAUGUCAAGUAUAUAAAGAAAGUUGAAAUCAUACAGUUGCAAUAUUGGAGCAAUAAUAAGUGCCUCCUUUAACCUAUCAAAGAUGCUUUUGGUGCUCUAAUUUCCAUUCAAAUCGCCUACUAUUCUCCAAUAGAUUUGUCAAUGAGACAACAAUGUAUGCAAAUUGCCAAACAAAAUGGUGAUAAUAUCCAGUAAGGCCUAAAAAUAAAUAAACUUCAGAAGCAUCUUUGACGAUUUAUCAAUCCUCUACUACUUUCAACUUAUUUUGUUCUAUAUGCAUGCCUUUAGACGACACCACAUGCUCAAAAAGAUGACUUUUGACUUCCAAAGUUUACAUUUUGAUUGCUUGCAAUAAAAGUGAUUAUCUUAUAGUCGACAUAAUACUUCUUCUAGAUGUUGUUCAUGCUUUUUAAGGAUUUUACUGUAUAUGAGGAUAUCAUCAAUGAAAAAAACUACAUACUUAUUCAAAAGGUCUUGAAAUAAUCUAUUCAUAUGAUCUAUGAAAGAGGCUAGAGUAUAAAUGAGGUCAAAAGGUAAAACCUAACCAUUUAAAAUAUCCAUAGUACAUUGCCAUAGCAAGAGUCUGCUUUGGGUACAAGUAGGGUCCCUCUUUGCAUUCAAGUUGAAUCUAAUAUGCACAAAAUCUUCUUAAAUUUUCCUUUGAGUAUUUACAAAAUUAUAUUUGUAAUAAACUAAAAAACUUGAAGUUUAAAAAUUCAUAUUCCAAGAUCUAGCUAUUCAAAUAAGCUUAAAAUUUGGGAGUACAGAACUUAUACCUUUGAUCAUUAUUACACAAAUUUUGAGCUACAAAUUUAUUACUGAUCGUCUGAUAUCACCAAAUCCUUAACAUGUGCUUUUUAAAGUCAAAACCAAAUUCGUGUCAUGAUGUAAAAUGGCUAAUAGGUGAAAAGGUGAAGAAAAUAUCAUAAUUUUGAAGAUCUUAUUUCAAAUAUAUUGUAACAAAUUAUCUUACAAAAAUAAAUAAUAGUCAAAGAGUUGAAAUGUUAAAAGUGUUAAUAUUACUUUUUUACAAAAUAGGCUUCUAUUUACUUUGUAGGACCACAAAUAUAGCAAAAUAAGAUAGAUUAGAAAAAUAAACAAUAUAGAUACCUUUAGAAAAAAUUAAGAAUAGUUUCCAAUAAAAAUCAUCUAGAAAAAUUAGAUAGUGAUACCCAAGAGGGCCGGUAAUGAACUUGGAUCAAAAUCAAACCUCGAGGCACAAAACCAAACUUUAACAAUGAUUUUGGAGUUUUUUGGCAAAUCAAAGAGUAAAAUUAGAGAACAAACUUGAUAGGAUUUUAAUAAACAUUAAUUUGGGAUGAUUUAGAUUUAUAUUGACUUUAUAAAAGCUUUGUAAAGUCAGGGUUUGUUUUGGAUGACUGUGGAUUUGUGAAAUAAAAGGAGAGAUACUUUUUGUAGAAUUUCGUAAGUUUGGCAAUAGAUCUACAAAUGAAAUUUAAGAAAUUUGUAGAUUUAUAUGUGUUCAAUAUAUGCUAUUAGUUUGAGCUUGAUCAAAAGGUCGGAUCGAGGAUUAUUAAGGAUUAAGUGGAUCGGGGUCUUGAAAAGUAGAGUUUUAGGUUUAGUAAAGGUUUUUAGUAUUUCUUACAAUCUAUUAGUUGGAUUGAAGUAAAAACUAUAUAUAUAGAUAGUAGACUUAUUUUUCUAUGUAUUUGAAAAAUUUAAAAUCAAUUGAACACUUUGAUAAAGAGAUAUUGGCAUUGGAAAUUUAACAUUCAGAUUGGAAAAGGAGACUAGCCAACAUCCGAGUAAAUAUUAUGAUUGAUCUUCUUAUUAGUGAGUUUGAUCUUCUUCAAAACAUUUGUACUUGUUGUCAACUUAAUUUGCUUAAGAAUCUAUUCAAGUUGUUAGGACUUAUUGUUGCAAUUUUUCUUUUAUCUCCCAUAGCCAAGUGCCCGGUGUAUUCUCAAGCGAGAUGCUAUAUAAUACUACACUGAAAACUUAAAAAUUCAUAUCCCAAGAUCUAGCUAUUCAAAUAAGCUUAAAAUUUGGAAGUAUAGAACUUAUAUCUUUGAAAAUUAUCACAAAAAAUUCAGCUAUAAAUUUGUUAUUGAUUGUCUAAUAUCACCAAAUCCUUAAUAUGUUCUUUUGAAAGCCAAAACCAAACCAGAAACUAGAAAAUUUAUAUCCCAAGAUCUAACCUUUCAAAUAAGCUCAAAAAUUGGGAGUAAAAAACUUACACCUUUAAUCAUCAUUAGAUAAAUUUUUAGCUACAAAUUCAUUGUUAAUCGACUAAUAUCACCAAAUCUUUAUCAGAUACUUUUGAAAGUCAAAAUCUUAGACAAAAUAGAAAAUCAUUAGAAUGAAUUUUUUUCCAUUUUUCCCAAGUCAAAGUCUCAAUUGAUAUGAGAUAUUAGACAUAGGCUCUUUAUAUCAUCAGUGAUAUAUAUACAAAAAAUAAGAGCUUCAAAUUUUUCUUGAAGCUCAAGUUUUAACUUAAAACCAAAACCCUCUAUUUCUCUAAUUUCUUCAAAAUCUUAGUUUUAGUUUCUUAGUUUUAACUAGCCAUAUCUCACUCAUUCUAGACUCAAUUCUAUUAAUCUUUGGAUGUAACAUAUUAAACUUAAAGUCUAAUUUCUAAUCCAAUUCUCUAAUUUCUUGCUAAUAUCUUAAAACUCUUAAUAUGUAUAAAAAAGUGACAAUAGAUAUCAAAUUAGUAGCCUAAGUUUAAACAAACAUAUCUCUCUCAACUAGGCUCUAAUUUGUGUAUUUUAUUUUACCUAAACUCAUGCCAAGAAGUUACUCUCUCUGAAUAUCUAUUCUCAAUUUGAAAAAAAAAUCCCUCUCCAUACUUCCGAGCUUGCCAAAGAAGUCGCUGCCAAGGUCUUCAAAGUCCAAGUCAAAAACUAAUAGUUUAAAGUUAAAAAAUACCAAAUCUAAUCCUCCAAAUUAGUAAUAUUAAUGGCAAUCAACUAAUACUUUUCAAACUUCUAUUUAUCUUUAAUAAAAACCUAAAUACAACCUCAAAGUCAAAGUUCUUCUUACAUCUAUUAAUAUAACUAUGAAUUUAUUAAAAUCAAAGAUUAGAAAGAAAAUAAAAGAAAUAAAAGAAUUUUUCAAGGCUAAUCCAAAGAUAAAAUUAAGAUUAAAGAUAAAAUAAAAUUUAGCCAAUUUUUUUAAAAAAUAAUAAAAAAAAAAUACAAAAAAAAAAAAAAAAAAAAAAAAAUUCUCUAAAACUAUAAAAAAAAAAAACUAGAUUGAUAAGUAGAAAAAAAAACCUCAUAAAAGUUUAAAGAAAAUUAAGUCAAGCAAGGUUUCUAUAUAUGAAUGUAUUUACAUUACAACAGUGUAUGAAAUGCCAUAUUUUCUACAUCCUUUCUUACAAUAGGUGUCUGUCAAUAGCCACUCCAAAGAUCCAAUUUACUAAAGAUGGUUGCACCUUGAAGUUGGUUAAGAAGAUCAUCUACAUGUGGAAGAGGAUAUGCAUUCUUAACAAUUUACUUAUUAAGGCCUCGAUAAUCGAUGCAAAGGCAAAGUUCAUCAUUCUUCUUUGAUGCAAAGAAUAUAGGUGUUUUCUAUAGUGAUGUAUUUUUUCAAAUGAGGCCUUUAUCCAAGUUUUCAUCUAAUGUCUUUGCAGCUCUUUAAGUUCUUUUGAUGCUAAGCAAUAAAUUAGUUGACUUACUAGUUUGGCUUCAAAAAAUAAUUAUAUUCAAAAAGAGGCACCUUGAUCAAAAGACAUGCCACUAAAUAGGUUGGUUGAAAAGACAUUCUAAUAUUCUCGUAUUAAUUGAUAUGCCCGUUCUACUUGUUUGGUUGUCUUUCCCACAACUGAUGCAAGAUUUGAAACUACUAUAUUUACCAAUUAUUUAUGUUAUAUUUACUUCUUCAUAAAGGCUGUCUCUACUAGUAAGUCUUUUUUUGCAUAUUAUCUUUUCUAUUCACUUGAUGUGUAGGUGCAAAGAGUCAUCUUACAUUGUCAUAUUACAUGAAGUCUUGUUUGAGAAUGCACCGAGCACCGGGCUGUGGAAGGUAAAAGAAAAUUACAACAAAAGGUCCUAACAAUCCAAUAGGAUUAUAGAGAAUUUAUAAUUAAAUGUUAACAAUCAUAAUCAAACAUUAAGCAAGCUUAAUUAAAUUUUAUUGAAGUUAUAAAAGAAACAUAAGAAAAUUCUAAAGAAAUAUAGAAGAAUAUUAAAAAAAACUUAGUCAAAUCCUAACAAAAAUCUAAUAGAACCUUAAAUUCUAACCAAAUCCUAAUCCUAAUCCAACCUUAAUCAAACCCUAGAUAAAUCCUAAAUCCUAAAUCAAAUCCUAAUCAAACCUUAAUCCCUAACUAAACCCUAAUCCAAAUCUUAAACCCUAAUCUAAACCCUAAAUCCUAAAUCCUAAACCAAAUCCUAUCCAAAUCCUAAACCCUAAACCAAACCCUAAUCCAAAUCCUAAUCUAAACCCUAAAUCCUAAACCAAACCUUUAACCAAACUCUAAUCAAAUCCUAAACCCUAAAUCAAACCCUAUCCAAAUCCUAAACCCCAAAUCAAAUCCUAAUAAUUCUUACAACAGAUUUAAACCUCAAUAACUAAUGAAUAAACCGUUGAUCUUAAUUGAAAUUUUGUAUACUUCUAAAACAAUAAGUUAAAAACAAGCACAAAAAAUUUGAUAAGGAUCGGAGUUACCAUAUUGACGAUAUCCUCAAAAAUGUGCUCGGGUAUUGGCUGGCCUCCUUCUCCAAUCUUGAUGCCAAUCUUCUAGAGCCAAUAUCUCUCCUUUUCACCUUUCGAUUAAUCUCAAAAUUCUCAUACGCAUAGAAAAACAAGUCUUAUAUCCUCUCACACACGUUUCACUCCAAUCCAACUAGUAGAUUCCAAGAAAUCUUAAAAAAACCUCACUAGACCUAAAAUUCUACUUUCUAAGACCUUGAUCCACUUAAACCUCAAUAUCCUUCAAUUUAACUGUUAGAUCGAGCUCAAAUUCACUACACAUAUUUAACACAACUAUAAUCAUAAACCUACAAAAUUUCACCCAUAGAUCUAUUACAAAACUCUUGAAAUCACCCAAAAUGUAAACCCUAUUUUAUUUCAUAAAACCCAAGUCAUCUGAAAUAAAUCUUGACUUUGCAAAGCUAUUACAAAGUCAAUACAGAUCUAAAUCACCCAAAACCAACACCCAUAGAAACCCUAUUCAAUCUUCUAUCAGACCCCACUCUUCGAUCUGCCAAAGAGUCCUAGAGUCGCUAUCAGAGCACGGUUUUGUGCCUCGGGGUCUGAUUUCGACCCAGGUUCAUAACUGGUCCUCUUCGGGUAUCAACUUUCGUCUUCUUGAGGUAAUUUUUACUAAUUUGUACUCCUAACUCCUUCCUACAUAUGCCUAUAUCCUUUAUUUUUCUAAUCUACCUCAUUUUGCUUUAUUUAUGGCCUUAUAAAGUAAAUAGAAGCAUAAUUUUUAAAUAGGUAGCAUUAGCACCUUUAAUUAUUCUAUCCUUUGACUAAUAUCUAUUUUUCUAAGUUAAUUUGCUAUAAUAUUUUUGAAGUGAGAUCCUCAAAACAUGAUAUUUUCUUCACCCAUUCACUUGUUAUCCAUAUUACAUCACGACAACUUCUACCACCAUUAGAAGAGAUUAUCUUUGCUAUCCAAUCAAAUUGCUUAUUUUACAUCUUUAGCUAUGGCAUACCCAAGAUAACAUCAUAUCUUAGCUUUGUCACUUUAAACCUCUCUCUUAAGACACUAUCGUAUUAUGGUUUGGCUACCAUUUGAAAAUAAUGUGUUUAUAUAUUUAAUGUAUAAUUUAUUUAGCAACAUGGUGAAAGCCAUGUUAUUGGAUUUUACUUGAUUGUAGAAUGUGGUUUAAUUACUAAUUUAAAAAGAGAUUUUUUAGAAAGAUUACUAUUAGAAUUUUUAUAACUUAAUUUUUUUUUGAUAGUGACUUUUGAAGUUGGUUUUUUUGGUAGUAACUUGGUACAUGUAGAGUCACUUUGAUUAUAUAUUGGUGAUUCUUAAAGUUUUAUUUUGGUUCUUUAAUUUGGUGUUUAAGGCAUAUAAUAUGUAAAUCUUAUACAAAAAAGAAUUGAAGAGGAAUUUUGGUAGUAAAAAAGGUAGUUAGGAUAUCUAUAUGAAUGAAUGGAAAUGGAUGAUAUAAAUCUCCAUUCCUAUUGGUCAAAAACCAUGACGAAUGGACUUCAAGGAAGGUGCCCAAGUCCAUAUUAGAAAUUAGGAUUAGUCUUUUGGAGACAAUUAAAUAUCAAAGGCUAGGAUUUUUUGCUAUGGUUUUAGUGUAAAUUUUGAGUCAAUUGGAGUUUUAAUGAAGGAGAUAUAGGCGCUCAAAGUCAAGAAGUUGGUAUUAUAUCUACUAUCAUUCUUUUGGAUAUAACACAUGCAUAUAGAAAGCAACAGAAAAUCGGUGACUAGGAUUGGAGAGAAAAUUUUGGAUACAAUUUUGGCAUAUUUUUUGAUGGAUUCUAAGUUUGGAUGAAAGAGAUAUUGGAGGUUGAAAUCAGUGGUUGAAAAUCUAAGGGUAAUAAGUCAUCCAAUUCACUAGUAGUUGUAUUUUGAACUAUAUCUUGAGAAAUUUGAUAAGAUUUUGGCUCAAAAAUUCCAAGAAUGUGUGUAAUUAUGUUAAUAAACUUUACAUAAAAAUUUUGUGGCAUUUGGAUUUUGGAUUUGUGAGAUAUGAAGAAAAUAGUAGUCAAGUGCUUCUAAAUUAGGUUUUGAAGUGCCUGUUAGGAUUUUAAGAUACUAAAAAAUUAAUAGCAAAUUAAUAGUUGAAUUUUUUUUAUAGUAAUGCUUAAGAAUAAAAACUAUAUUAUCUGAAAAUUUUACAAAAAUUGAAUGGUUGGAUCAAGAGAUAUGAAUUUUUAAAGUUCGGGAAGAAGAAAAUCUAUGCAAGAAAAAUAUGUUUUGUAAGGAUUUUAUCACAAUUUGAGUAUUUUAUACAAAGUAAAGGGAUUUUUUGGAAGUCAAGACUUUAUGUAUAUGUUGAAAAUGGAUAUAUAGAGCUAUGGUUAAAUUUUGAUAUAAAUAUGAGUUUUUGAGAGGAGAUUAUGGAUUUUCUUUGGAAUUAUUGAAAAUCUAACUUAUAAAAAAAUGGUUAAUUAUUAUUUGGGAUAACCAAGAAUGUUAGAGAAUUUUUAGAUAUUUUAGAAAGCCUUAUAUAAAAACCUUCUUAAAUAUAAGAUAUUUUAUUAAUAUAAUAUCUUUUUGAUAUUAUAAUUUUUAUUUGUCUUCUACUUUAAAGGUUAAGUAGCUUAUUGGAACUUGGUCCAUAAGUUAAAACUAAACUCUCUACAGCUAGGUAUCCAAUGUAUUUCCAAAUAGAAUACCAUGCAAUAUAACAAUAUAUGUAUUAAUCAACCUCAAGGUUUUUUUUUCACAUAUCUCAUUCAAUAUGUUCUUCGGUCAUUUGUAAGGUAUAUACUUUCUUCUUUGAUUGCCUUAAUUUUAAUUCCAAAUUAGUGGGUAAUUACAAUUGAAAUACAAUUUCUUGUAGAACCACAAUCUACAAGCAUUUGACAUAGUUGUCCUCUUAAUAGUCCCAUUAGAUACACUAGUUAAUUCUUUUUAUAGUUAUCUAAGGCCAUGCUAUUUACCUUUCAGAGAAAAUAGCUACUCCCACUAUUGGCCCUUGAUACCUUUACUAGGAAGCUCCAUUUUUUUGCUCUAUAUCAUUAUCAACUUGGUGAAUUUUAAGAAUAAAAACUAGCCUUAUUUUAUUGGGGCUUGAAUUUUGAUGUUUUAAACAACCUUCACUCUGAUGGCCUGGCUCUCAAAAAUAAUAACACAAUCCCUUUUAUAUCAAUAUUUUUUGUCUUUCUAGUAUUAAUGAUCUUUAUAGGGCAUCAAUUUCUAUUGAAGUUGGUUGUUGUGCCAUCAUAUUAGAUAGCAGCAUAUAACUUGGUGCUAUAGAUUGUGCUAUUUAAUAUUUGAAAUCUAUACCAUCAAUUCUCUCUACAAUUUGAAUUGCGUCUUCAAACAUUUGUGGAUCCUUUAAUUCCACUUCUUCUUAGAUCAUAGGUUUUAAACCUUACAGAAAUUGAUCCAUUAUCUCUACCUCCAAAACAUUUUUAAUUUAAAGAUAUAACAACUUAAAUCAAGAAACAUAAUCUUAUACCAACUUAAAUUAUAUAAGACUUAUCAAGUGAUUGUGUGCUAUCUUUUUCGUAUUGAUGGACUAAAAUUUAUUCCUAAAUUUGGUCUCAAACUCCUCUCAAUUACAUAAUCUACCUUGAGCUUUAUAGCUUUGAACUUAAUAUUGCUACCAAAUGGCUACUAUAUCUCUCAAAUAGCUAGCUGCAUAUAUAAUUCUUUCAGUGGUAUUUUCUUUAGAUAUUUUGAAGUAUUGUUACAUGUUGAAGAGCCAUUGACAUACAUCUUCUUGUCUUGAAGUUCUAAAAUAUGUACUAGGCUUACUCAAUUUCAGCCUAGCAAAUGUCAACUUCCUCAAGGCUUCUAUUUGUCCUUGCAAAGUAGCUAUCUGGCCAAUAAGGUGUUGUAUUUGAGUCUCCAUGUAGGAUUGCUCUACCAUAUCUCCCAUGCUAUAAUUUCUCCAUUAGAUUCUACUUUUAUAAUACCUUCUUAUUUUUUAAUUGAUUUUUUAAGAAUAGUUCAUGGUAGCUUCAAUAUAAUAUCCAGUGUCAUUACAACUACUAAUCUUAGACUAAAUGAUGACUAUCAAUAUAGUUCCAAAGAACACUCUAAUACUUACUCAGCUACCAAUGAAACAUGACUGAUCUAUUUCAAGAAUUCAAGAUCCUUCUAAUCCACUAUAACAUAAAAUUUCAUCACAAGAUAGGACAAACUUGAUCAAAAUAAAUUAAAUAGAAUUAAACAGAAUGAGAUACAAAAGACAAAAUUGAGGAAACUGAAUUAGAAAAAAUAUAUAUAUAUAUAUAUAUAUAUAUAUAUAUAUAUAUAUAUAUAUAAAAAAUCCAUUUGUAUUAAAAAAAAGAUUUCGAAGCCAUACUUGACCUAAUGCUCUAAAAGGCCAUGGCCAAUUCCAUUUAUAGUUUAUUUUAUUUUCUAGAAUGUUUUUAGUUGAUAGACCUUAUUUAGAUAACUGCCUUAAACUCUUUUUAGAUGAUUCUAUAGUAGAUGUUAUUUAGAUAACUGCCACAAGUCUAUUCUAGAAGGUUCUAUGGUGGAUGUGAUUGCUCGUUUUACUUAUUUUAAAUUAAUCUAAUGGAAAUAAACUCAUAUAGGGAGAUUCGAACACAGGGAAUGACUAGUUGCUUAAGCGUUCACGUUAAGGUCACACAAUCAAUUAUCUCCUGAAUGUAUCGUCUCUAUUUUCAAUAUCUAAACACACAAGGAAACUAUAAUCUCUUCCUUCACCUUAUCGGUCUCUUCUUUACAGUAAUUCAGUCAUAUCAAUAACUGCUAUUUCUACCAAUAUAUUCACCCUCAUAUUCUCCAACUAUAAUACUGCACCCUCAUAGCUUUCAGCACACAAUUAUCCUUAUUCCAAUCACUAGAAUUCUUCACAUAGAACUGCCAUUCACAUUACAGUGUUUCACACAAACACAGACUCAUUCUCUUUGCUAAACUACAAUCAGAUUUCAGCAUUCAAUCUUUCUUCUUCUCAAAUAAUACCAAUCACAUUUCCAUUCCAUAAUUCACUUCACAAUAUUUAGAAACUCUCAAUCCUCUUAUUCAAAGAAAAUAACAAAUAAAAAAAAAGAGGUAGCACCAAGCUUACCCCUGCUCACAACUAUCACAGAGAUGGCAUUUUCUUCCCCUCUCCCAUCCUCCUUAUACUACUCCAAGAUACCAACUCCUAUACUAUAGAUGAUAACUACUUUUCUUGACUAUCCAUCCAUUCUACCUACUGAACCACCUUUUAACAGUUAUCUAUCCCUGUUUAUACUAUACACUAGGUAUCUUUAUUAUGUAAAAUAACUACUUAUUCUACAUAGCCCCACUCCUAACUAUGCAGUGUCUUCGCAAACACUCAAUUGAUACCUAUCUAAAAAUUAUCUAACGAAUCUCUACAAAGUUAUUAGUUCCUCUGGCCCACCUAAUUAAUCAUUUGCUGCAUUAUCGAAUGUAGGUUCGACCAAAUCUGGUUCCAAUUUCAAAUCUUCUUCUUUUUCCUCCAGUCCAUCAACUCCUUCCUCAACUGGUUUGAUAGAUCUUCAUUAUACUCACCCAGUACACGGACUUGAGUAUCCAGUUUCAAGAUCUUGACAUCCCGAAGUUCCAAUUGUUAUUGCUGACUCAUCCAUUCUGAAAUAUCUUCAAUCAACACUUGUGACCGGCUCCUCACUGUUAAUUCUUAACUGGAACUACUAUUCUCGAAAACACAAGAAAUACAAGAAAAUGGCACUCUAGUCAAUCCAAAAUAAUAUCACAAAAUGACUUUAACUGGUGCCCCACUCUUAAUCUUUUACCUAGUGGUGAUAAUCAUAACAUGUUAUCCAUACUAUUCGUGAAAGGUAAUGGGAAGGAAUCUUUCUUCGUGGCCAUAUUAAGUUUCUGGAAAUCCUGAUAAAUUCGGAUUUUUCCAUUCUUUUUUGGUACCAUCAUAAUUGGCGACACCCAUGCACUAUGCAGAACAGGAUAAAUAAAAUCCACAUUGAAAAGUUUAUCCAAUUCUUCUUUCACUAAAAGAGAAUAUUUUAGGUUAAGCCGGUGUUGUCUUUGACAAACUGACAUAACACCCUCCUCCAAAAUAAUCUGGUGCUCACACACAUCAACUGGAAUCCCUUUCAAAUCCGCAUAUGACUACGGAAAGGUAGAUUUGUGAUGGACGAAAAACUGUUUUGAAGCAUCCAAUUCUGUACCUAUAAUGCCGAUAUAUAUUUUAAUUAGUUGUGGCGUUUUGUUGGUGCCCAGGUUAAUGGAUUGACAUAUAGGGUCUUCAACAAUCUCUGAUUUAAUUGUCUUCUCCAGAACUGAAUAUCUUGUAUUAUUCGACAUAUGGAAACCACCCAAAUCUGGUUCUAAUAUGCUGACUCUAUUGACUUCAAAAUUAUUCAUCCAUUUGAUAAUAGUAUGAUACGAGUUAGUCGUAUCUUCUUGAUGUAGUAAAUAUUCACCAGGAUCUCCACAUUGGUAGACUCCUGCCUUUGCUGUUGAAGUAUUUUUUCCUACCUCAAAUUAUGGUGAACCUAUAGCAUUGACAUCUUUCUUAAUCAAUUGACUCUUGUUGUCCGAUAUAAAUUCUGAUUCUGGCAAUUGAGAUUCUCGAUGAUAUUGUACCAGAUACAUCUGUAGAAUAAUCUAGUCACGACCUUUUUCAAUUGUCAAUGUGCCUCAGCCCCAAUCGUUCUUAGAUUUGGCUUGAUAAAGCCAAGGUUCACUCAAUAAAAUGGGAUACGAUAAUGUAGAACUCUGUAAUCGAAAUAUAAUAUAAUCGAUUUUGUAUGUCAAUCUCGUAAUUACAAUGGCAAUAUUUUGUAAGAUUUCUAUUGGCUUUAUCCAACUAUGAUCUGUUAUUCGUAAGAUCAAUGUCGUAGGUAGCAAUUCCUUUAGAUCCAAGUCCUCCAUUGUAUCCACGUUCAUUAAAUUCACACUGGAGCCACCAUCGACGUGUACUCCUGGAAUUAAAACGCCAUCAAUUGAUACAUCGAUUGUUGGUGCUCCCGGAUCUGGGUUUAAGCUAACUUCAUGAAUUUCUUUAGUGCAGGAUCUUCGUCAUAUAAGCGCUAAAUUCAAUGUAGAUCGAUAUUCUAGUACUACAGCCAAAAGUUUCUUCAUUGUAAUUGAAGGCUGAAUAAUAUCUAAAUCCUUCAAAAUGUCAUAGGGUUCCAUAUUGAGAGUAAUUUUUAAUGCUCUUUUGUAUUUCAUUGGUUUCGAUUUUACUCCGUUCGGCAGCAAUUCCUUCUUAGCGAUUGGGAUUGCCUCUGGUAACUUUACCAACUUUUCUACCACUAAAGGUUCCUUUAAUGCGUAAGAUCUUUUAUUGAGCUGUACAGGUAUUGGUAGUUGGUCAGUUGGGAUCGUUCUAGAUGGUCCCGACAAAUUGGCACGUGGAACCGAAUUGGAUUCCUCAGUUUAUUGAGGUCUCAAUAUUGAAAUAUGUCCCAAUACUGAUAUUGGUUUGUUUAGCCCCGUGGAUGGUGCUACUUGCUCUCCUGCGAUUGAUUCAUCCAAGUCCUGAAUUAGAUUCUUGUCUUUUUUUUGGCCUCUAGUAAGCACUGCAUUCACCACCUCGACAUGAUGUACUGAUGAGUCUCGUUGAACAGGACCUUUGUCCUCCGUCAGUUGACUUAUUUAUAUUUGCUGGUCCCGAUUAUUAUAAUUAAAGGGCGUAUUGCACUACUGAUAAGUGUGACCAGAUUGCUUAUAAUUUCCACAUAUUGGAGCAUAGUCAUCACUAGCCCUUGGAUUAGGACAUUCACUCGCAUAAUGUCCGAUUUGUCUGCAACGAUAGCAACAAAGUGGUCUCCUACCAACUCCUUCAAGGAUAUUGGAUGUCUCUACUGGUAUAUAAUGGCUAGAUUUGUUCCAUGUCGGAUGAGUAAAGGAUCGUGGUUGACCCAUUGUUAGUGUAGACUCUGGCAUUAACUUCAUCAUAGGUAGAUAUUGAUGGUAUCUUGGUUGGUUCAUUGCCAAUCCGUGAGUAUUGGAUAUACCUUCUUGGUGAAAUUCAGAGUUUAAAAAAUUGGAAUAAUUCCUGUUUUAUUUAUUCACUCGAUUUCCAUUCCAACCAAACCUAUUAUUCAAUUGUACUUGAUUGACAUCCCACGAAGUUGUUUGAAUCAUUAUCUAGUUACUGAGUUGUUGUUACUUCCAUAAAUUCCAACAAUUGGUAGUAAUAUGCUUGCCCCCACAAAAGAUACAUUGUACAGUCAUUUAGGGAGAUGAAGGAUAUUUUGUUACUAAAUGACCUUGCUCCUUACAAUUGUUGCACCAGACAUUGGGAUGCAAAUUGGUUGGUUUAUACCUUUUUUCUUUAUCCUUGGCUAGAUUCACAACCAAUUCAUCCAUUUUUUUUGUCAAUGUUAACAACAAUGACUCAUUGGGAUCCCUUGAUACCAAUGCAUUUGGCAAUUCCUUUGUAGGUAUUGGUUUUUGAUAUGCGGAAUAAGGGACAUAUGAUUGUGAUGAUGAUGGUGGUAUAGCUUGCAAUAGAACAACAUCCACUAUUUCCUAUGGAAUUGUACCAUAAUCAUUCUUUCCUGGAUAACUUUCCGAUGCAUCAUUCCAAUUUGUCAUUUAAUAACCUCCUUGAGAUGGAAUCAUCAUGGCUCUAACUGUUAAGUUUUGGUCAUAGUGACAUUCCUUCCAUACUUUUGCUCACUCAAGAGAUGAUGCAAUGGUGGCUGAUAGGGCCUCCUUUACAAACAUCUUCAAUUAUGGUGGAUGUAGUCCAUUAAUCAAUAUGGACAGCACAAAUGAUUUUGGCAUUCGGUUAUUUGGCCAUUUUCGAAGUAAAUCUGCUAUGCGAUCAUAAUAUGAUUGUACCGCUUUCCUUGGUAUCAUUUUGCUGUUCAUUAAUUUUUCUCUAAGACGUUCUUCAAAACUAAUUGAUCAAAAAUGGGCUAAAAAUAUAUUUUUCAAUGCUUCCCAAUUCGGAAAUUGACCCACUGGUUGGCGGUUGUACCAUUCAAAUGCCGUGUCUUUUAAGGUCGAUGGCAGCCAUUACAACCAAAUAUCUUCAAUUCUGCCAUUAUUAGCUAUACAUACUAUAAAAAAUUGAGAAAAAUAUUGAUCGAGAUCCGCAUCUAAAAAUCCCCAAAAAGUAGGUAAUGGCACAACACUAAUCGUACGAUCGCCUACUGCACCCAUUUGUAGUACAAUCGAAAUGGUUGGUCCUCCUGACGCCAUUGAAUUUCUUGUUCUGCUAAACUCCAUUUUAAAAUAAUCUCUACUUUUUUUUAUUCUAAUUUCCAAGCUGUCAGUACUCCUUGAUUUACUGUUAUUAUCUACAAAUAGUUUUAUUGGUUGAAUUACAGGUGAAAACGUCAGAUUUUGAAAUACAAUAUAGUUAUCUUUAUUGGCAACUAAUUUGUGCCAAUCUGAAGAGCCACUAUUGCUCGUUUCAACAAUACCCCCUAUUAGAAAAAUACCCAAUGGAGUACCAAAUUCUUCUACGCCUCCUUCUCUUUUAGUUAACGGCCUCAAGAUUUCUACUGGAAUGUUAACAAAAUUUUCCAUGAGUCUUCUUGAUAGUUUUUCUAAUGGUACAUACGACUGAAGAAUUGACAGUCUGUCCAGUUCUUGAUAUGUUUGGAUGCGUCAACAAGCUUGCAACCAUGGUUUAAUCCAAUUUCAUCAAUGCUUCUUUUUAAGAUUACAUUCUUGCUCCUCUCUAAGCAAGUUCCUUCCUUGCGCUCUUCCCUGUCUUUCUCUCAACUGAUUUAUUUUCCUCAAUGCAAUGCUCUCAUUCUUAUUAACCAUAAUCUUGCUUCAAAUAUUACUAAAAUCGUCUUCCAUUACCAAUUUUCUCACACGUUUGGUAAUUAAUUCCUAACACUCAAAGCUAUUAUCACUCCUUGGAAGCAGUGCCAAAAUGUGAUUGCUCGUUUUACUUAUUCCAAAUUAAUCUGAUGAAAAUAAACUCAUAUAGGGGGAUUCAAACAUGGGGAAUGACUAGUUGCUUAAGCGUUCACAUUAGGAUCACAUAAUCAAUUACCUCCUGAAUGUAUCAUCUCUAUUUUCAAUAUCUAAACACACAAGGAAACUAUAAUCUCUUCCUUCACCUUAUCGGUCUCUUCCUUAUAAUAAUUUAGUCAUACCAAUAACUGCUAUUUCCACCAAUAUAUUCACCCUCAUAAUCUCCAACUAUAAUAUUGUGCCCUCACAUCUUUCAGCACACAAUUACCCUCAUUCCAAUCACUGAAAUUCUUCACACAGAACUGCCAUUCACAUUAGAAUGUUUCACACAAACACAGACUCAUUCUCUCUAGUGAACUACAAUCAGAUUUUAGCAUUCAAUCUUUCUUCUUCUCAAAUAAUACCAAUCACAUUUCUAUUCCAUAAUUCACUUCACAAUAUUUUGAAACUCUCAAUUCUCAUAUUCAAAUAAAAUAACAAACAAAAGAAAAGAGGUAGCACCAAGCUUAUCCCGACUCACAACUAUCAUAGCGAUGGCUUUUUCUUCCCCUCUUCCAUCCUCCUUAUACUACCUCGAGAUACCAACUCCUAUACUACAGUUAAUAACUAUUUUUCUUGACUAUUCAUCCAUUCUACUUGCUGAACCACCUUUUCAACAAUUAUCUAUCCAUGUUUACACUAUAUACUAGGUAUCUUCAUUAUGUAAAAUAACUACUUAUUCUACAGUGGUUUACACUUAGAUGACUACCCUAAAUUCUUUUCAGAAUGUUCCAUGGUAGAUCCUACUUGGUCCACUAAUCUAAUUUUAAUUUUACAAACUUUGAUAACUUCUCAAAUUAAGUUUUAAUUAUCUAGCUUUAUGUAUCAAUAAUACAAAUAUCUUAUUUAUGCUUUGUUAUAUAGAUAUACUUUUGAAGAAGAGAUGAUGGUAUAUAAAAGAGGUAAAGAUUAAAACGAAAAGAGCUAUAGAAAUUCAUUUGUUAGUGGUAGAAUAGAUUUUGGUGAUGAGGUUCAAAAUUUCUAUGAAGGUUUAUAUGAAAGUAAAUUAAAAAUAUAUAUAUAUAUAUAUAUAUAUAUAUAUAUAUAUAUAUAUAUAUAGAUAUAUAUAGAAAUAUAAAUUUAUAAGAAUUUAUUUAGAUACAAUGAAGAAAAAAGAAAGAUGGAUGGAUAAAACCUUCAAAGAUAUUAGAUACCAAUUCUAUGGUUAUUUCCUUAAAGAUAGGCUUUUAUAGAAGAGGCCAAAAAGAAAUGACAAAAUUCUAUUGAGAGUAAUACAAGAUCUUAAAAUUAAAUUUUAAAUUUUAAAAGAGUAUCAUGAUACACUUUUGGCAAGACACAAAAGAAUUUGGGCCACAUAUACCAAAAUCAAAGAAAGAUAUUAAUGAAAAGGCUUACACAAAGAUAUAGAAGAUUUUUUGAGCUCAUGCAUAGAGUGUUAAUUAUAAUCUAAGAUUAAAUAUAGAAAUGGAUUACAUCUUACUUAUCUAUCUUAUAUACAUUUUCAAUGAAUAAUUGAUUUGGUAGCUACACUAUCAAAACUUUGAGAUAUGAAAUACUUAAUUUUGACAAGAAAUUAACUAUCAAAUUAUGUUGAUGGGAGGACUUUAAUAACUAAGAUUACAAAAGCAGUAUGUAGAUUUAUACUAGAAGAUAUCUUCAAAGAUAGAAAAUUAUUGGAAAGAUGAGGGCUAAUAGAAGAAAAUUGGAUACUAUGGAAGCAAGAAAAAUUUUCAGUAGAUAUAGAAUUCAAUUGAUAUAGAAUUCAAUUAAAUUUGACUAUUUUUUAUAAUUUUAAAGGCAAUGAAAAGAGUGAAAGAAGUCAUCUUCCUAUCAUUUAUGCAUUAAUUAAGGUAUAUAAAGAUAAGCCAAUUCAAUAGCCUAAAUUACUUCCAUUUUCUUUAUGGACUGAUAGAACUACUUACAGUACUAUCACUAAUUAUAUGCCUAUGGAAUUAAUAUUAGGACAAAAAUCUAUUAUGGUAGCUAAAGAAACCUAUCCUAUAUAGACAUUUCUAUUUUAGAAAUAUAAUAUUAAUAAAAAAAUAUUAUUAGAGCUUUGGAUCAAGUAAUUGAGAAUGUUACCUAAAGACUUACAAAUUUCAGCUUAGAGGUUAAAAGGAGCAAUAUUGAAAAAUAUAAAAAGAUUUGAUAGAAGUCAUAUAUUGAAGCCUAAGCAUAUAGAGAUUAGAGAUUGGAUUCUAGUUUAUAAUAGUAGCUUUGAACAUCAAUAUAACAUUGUAAAGAAAUUUAUAAAAAAUUGAUUUGGACCAAAUGUGAUAGUUAUAGUCGAUGAUAAUGCAACACAUAUCUUACAUGAGUUAAAUGGAGCUAUUAUAAGAAUUCCAAUAGUAGAGAAGAUAGUAAAGGUUUUCAAAAGAAGAGAUAGGCAAUUCAAAAUAGAUGAUCUUGAAGAAUUUUUAUUUUAAUAUUUAGUUUAAGAAUAUAAAGUAAAAGAAUCUAUAAGUGUUUCAAAGAAAUCUGAAGAAGAUGAAGAGGAGUAGCACUUGAUACAUAUCCGACAAUAUACAGGUUCAAAAGAGAUAAAUUUUGUAUUAUAAUUUUUAAUAGUAUAUAAAAAUUAAUUAAAACAUAUAAUAUAUUUAUAAGUAUUGAUGUGUAUUAGAGUAGUUAGUAAAUUAAUUUAAAUAGAAUUGAUAUAAAAAAAUUUAUUUUAAAGUUUAUCAAUUUUUAUUAUAGCAUUUAAAUUAUAUAAGAUUUAGAUAUUUAGUAUAAAAUUUAAAGAAAAAAUUGUAGCUCAAAGAUAAACAUCUAAACUUUUAAAAAACUCAUUUAGAAGGAUGAAAGUAAGAUAUGGAUGGAUGAAGAUAAGGAAUAAAUAACUUCAUCUUUAUUGAUUAAAAAUCAUGCCUAAUAGGCUCUCAAGAGGCUAUCUACAACCAUAGUAAGGAUUUUGGUGACUUCAAAAGGAGCACUUGAGAAUUAGAAGCAAGGAUCAUAAGGUUUAGAAUUUGGACUAUAAUUUGUGUAAAAAAGUUAUAGAAUUUGGAGUUAGGGUUAUGAAGUUAUAGUUGUUUGAAGUUAAGGUGUCUUUUUAAGACAUACUUUUGUUCUUUUGAGGUUAUAAUGAAUUUUACAAUAGCUUUUGGAGUUAAACAUGUGCGACUACAAGAAUGAUUUUAAAAUCUACAUCUUUUAUGAAAUAAUUUUUGUAUUUAAAGUUUAUAUGAAGGAAUUAUUGAGCAUUGAAGAUAGCAUAUGUAAUUCAAAGAGAGUAAGUGAUUUUAUUGAUAGUAAUGGUUGGAGCCAUAUCUUGAAUUUUUAGACAAAUAUUUGGCUCAAAAUUUCCAAAAUAAUAUAUUAUUAGAUUAAAAAGCAAUAUAUAAUUUUUUUAUGAUAUAUAAGUAUUUAAUUUAUGAUAUAUUAAGAAAAUUAUACAUGGGUAUGUAUAAAUAAGGAUUUAAAGCUAAUAUUAGGAUUUUGGUGAUAUUUUAAGUUUCAUAAUCAAUUUGUAGUUGAAUUUGUUGUAGUAGUUGUUGAGAAUAUAUCAAUACUUCACAUAAAAUUUUAGUUUCUUUGAACAAUCUAAUCAUGAGAUAUAAACUGUUGAAAUUUAAGAAGUUUUUACUUUAAGAAUAUAUAAGGAUUUAGAAUGUUUUUGUCACAUUUUGGAUGAUUUUUGCUACUUAAAACUUACGUAUUGAUAUAAUUGGCUCUAUAGAAAAAAAAUUAUCUAUAAACUUGGUAUUUUUCUAUUUUAUCACUUAGUUGAGCAAUUAGUGAUAGCCAAAAGUCCAUUGCUUUCUUAAAGCAAAUUCUCUCUAUCCAAAAACAGAUUUGUUAUAUGAACAUAAUAAAAAAUCUAUAUACAAUAAAAUAUAAAAGAUCUUAAAAACUUAUGUAUUUUUGUUAAAAAGUUACAUAAAUCAUUCAUCCUCUCAAUUGCAUCAAUUUUAUUUGGAUUCAAUUUUAUUCUAUAAAAUCCACCCAAAUGUCUAACAAUAAAAACUUCUCAUAUUUCAAAUAUAGAUUUUGCUUCCAAAAGUGUAACAUGAACUUUUUCAAUUUGAUAUAAAAUCUUUUUACAAUCUUGUAUAUAAUCAACAAUACACUUGUAACACCCUUACUAAUUUACAGUCUUAUUUUUUUUCUUCUUUACAUCCUUUAAUAGAAAUAUUAUCUAAAAGAUAUAUAAUUUUUUCAAAAAUAAAGUCUCUUAAUAUCUUGUUCAUUCCAUUCAUUAUAUAUGCAACUAAGUUUGCAAUAUCUUAUAAAAGAAUACAUAUUUUAAGUAAUUCAAAUAAUAUUUUUAUUAUUUUUAGAUUUCUACUUCUAUAUAUAUAUUAAAAUUGAUUAUAGUCUAAAUAUAAAUCAUUCAUUAAAUAAAUUUUCUUUCCUACAAAUGCUUUAGCAAAUACAUCUAUUAAAAGUCCUAUACUUGUAUUUCUAAUAGUUACUACAUUUAUUAUCUAAAUAUCUUGAAUAAAAUUAAUAAUCCAUUUUUUUAAGUACCAUAAAUUAAUGAUUAAAAUACAUAGUAAUAGAAUACUUUAAAAUCUUCAUUUGGAAUUUUUUUUCACUAAUUCUAUUAAUUUAUGCAAAUAUUUCCUUGAUAAAAGAAUUAAACUUAAGUUCGAAGGUAUGUGUGAAAUUUUAAAGAUAACCAUAGGAGCAAUAAUAUUGGAAUCUAAACAUCUUAUUUCAUGAGAUCCAAAAAUAAAUGAUUUUUUUCAUUUUGCAAGCAUUUUUUUAAAAUAUUCAAUUUUUACUAAUAACUAAAAACUAUCACAUUCAAUCUUUACUUCUUCCAAAGUCUCUUUUGUAAAUUUUUGUUCAAUAUUCUUUGAAUUUCUUAAAUUGUUUCCUUUGAUGCUUCUUUGUCAAGGACAAGAACUCAAUGAAAAAACAAUCCAGUCAAGUGAGCCUUCAUUCAAAGAAAGGUAAUAAAAUAUAAAUAAAUAAGUAUGUAUAUUGCAAGAGAAACUAGAAUGGCUAUUGCCGAAAGAUAAGAAAACUAGAGACCCUUGAAACUAGACUAGAAGUAAGAAAGGAAUUGACAAGAGUGAAGAAGGCUUCACUCUUGUCUCUAUAUAUACUAUCUAACUAGGUACUACGUGGCGACGUUCUAUAGGACCUCCAAUAUGUGUUAACUUUGUAGGACACAUGCCUUGACUUACAAGGCAAGUUUCUCUAUGUAUGGACCACAUAGUUAGCUUAAUCUUCAAGCUAACAACAUGUGUGGCACAUGGCCAACUUGUUGACCACGUUUCUAAUCCAAAAAGUCAAUUAAAGACACCUAUGAAGUCAAAGCAGCGUCUAUGAAGCUUCUAGAAAGCUUCCAUAUUAAAUACUAUAGAAUUAACUUACUUUUACCUAUUUUUACUUACUUCUACAUAUUUGUAUAUGUAAUUACUAGCUUACAUGAGUAUGUCCGUGACAUUACCCUCCCUUCUAGGGACGAGUUCCACGAGGAGUGGUCAUCAUAUGUUGAGAAAAUCUAUGAUGCGACGAAUUGUAUUUGCCACAUACUCUGAUCUUUAUUUUCUUGGAAGAUGAUUGAUAGGGCCUCUAAAUCAUCGGUAGUGUCCAAUACCAGGGCGGGAAGACCACCCACUUAUAUGAUCAUUGAUGAGGCCUUCAUAACUUCCUUCGAAUAAAACAUUUGGAACACCAUUGGGAGUUGUUCCUACCUCUAGCAAAAUCACCAAACAUCGGGAGUCCCUUCUCAAAUCGUGAUACCAAACACGUUAUAUCUCACCAUCUAUUCGAGGAAGAACAUGUCAUUCUUGAAGAUCUUCAUCUCGAUUGCGUCGUCUUGAAGGUUGUGACAAUCAUAAAGUCUCAUCAAGCAGGUCAGCAAAUGAAGGCACUUGAGUCAAAUCCAUUGGUUCUAGGUGCUAUAUCUCCUGAACGUCACAACUAUAAAGAAGCUACAAACAAGGAUUGAAAGUAGAAUGUUAUCUUGCAUAGAUGUUGUUUCUUUUAUAAAGAAGAUUUUUAUCUUGAUUUUGAUGGAUGUCGUUAAUGAAAAGCCUCCACCGCCUUUGCUACAUUUACAAGAUUCUUUAUUGGCUUCCAUGUGCAUUCACUAAUACCAUAUCCGCGCCAAUGGACAAGAUAUUCCAAUUUAUUUCGAUGUCGCCUUGAAUCUAAGACUUCUUCUACUUCAAACUCUUCAUUAUUGUCCACUUCUAUAGGAGGAGGUGGAGCUUGCCGUCUUCUUGGUAUGUCCACUGUCUUGUAUGGUUCAAGAAAAAAUACGUGGAAUAGUAGAUGGAUUUUUAUUGACUCUUGUAGAUGUAAACGAUAUGCAACUAGAUUGAUUUGUACAGAAAUAGAAAAUGGUCCCAGCCUUCGAUAGUCCAACUUGUCACAAGGACGAGUGGUCUUGAUAUUACGAUGAAGUAGCCAUACCUUAUCAUCUAAGAGGAAUGGUGGUUGUUCCUUUUGAUAAACAUCCGUAUUGACCUUUUGUUGUUCUUGAGCCUCUUUUAACUGCGCUUUUAUCGUUGCAUGUAGCUCUGCUAAAUGAAUCACUAAAUCUUUCGCAGCAGGAUUAUCAACUUUUGAAAAGUCAAAAGUAUGAAGUUCUCGAUGAUAACCAUAAUUAGUAAAGAAAGGUAUUUAUUUUGUAGAAAAAUGUACCGUGUUAUUAUAAGCAAACUCUGCCAAUGACAAAAGAGUUGUCCAAUCAUCUUGUUGGUAGUUAAUGAUACAUCUUAAAUAUUGCUCCAAAACUUGAUUAACACGCUCCGUUUGUCCAUUAGUUUGAGGAUGGAAUGUCAAAGAUAGUUUUAUAUCUAAUUUUAGAAUCUUAAAAAGAAACCACCAAAAACUUGAUAUAAAUUGAGUUCCCCUAUCUGAUAUAAUAUCCUUGCAUAAUCCAUGAUAGCGAUAGAUAUUGUUAAGAAAGAGCUUAGAUGUUUCUUCACCUAUAAUAGAUUUUGUACAUAGUACAAAAUUUGCCAUCUUGGUAAAACAAUCUACUAUCAUGAAUAUAGAAUCAUAAGAAUCUAAGAUUAGAAGAUCUGUGAUGAAGUCCAUAGAAACAUAAGACCAUGGUUGUUCUGGAAUGGGUAAUGGUUGAAGAAGUCCAAAAGGUCGGUUAUAAGGAGUUUUUGAUCUUGAACAAACAUCAUAUGAUUGUACAAAAUCUUUGACUGCCUUCCACAUUUGAAGCCACCAAAAAUCCCUAGAUAUCAGCUCCAAAGUCUUAUUAUAUCCAAAAUAUCCUACUGUUGGGAAGUCAGGCCAAGCUUGAAGAACACAUAAAAGUGCUUCUCCUUCUGAAAUAUAUAGGUGUCCUUCAAAAUAGAGUAGGUUAUUUUUGAAUUCAAAUUUAGAAGGAUCAUGAGAUUUAGAAGAAUUAUUCUUGAUAUCAUGAACAAGAGGGUCUGAAGUCAUACUUAACUGAACUUGCUUAAGAAAAGUUAAAUCAAUCAUCAAUGUUGAUUUUAUUGCUCGAAGAUGAAAUUACUUUGGCUUCAGGAGAACCAUUCUUUGUUGCUCAAAAGCUGCAUCUCCUUCUUUUGGUGCAAGAUAAGAACGUCUAGACAAGGCAUCGGACAAACCUUGUUGUUUUCUUGGCCGAUAAGUGAUGAUGAACUCGAAUCUUGAUAAAGACAUGCUCCAACGAGCUUGGCAAUGAUUUAAUACACGUGUUGACAUAAAAUAUUCGAGGUUCUUGUGAUCCGUAUACAUGGUGACUGGAUUGAAAGCGCCUUCUAGAUAAUAAUGCCAUUCUUGAAAAGAAUCCACAAUUACAAGAAGUUCUUUCUCGUGGAUCUCAUAAUUGAUUUCUGCUAUUGAGAAUUUUCUUGAAUGAAAGGCUACUGGAUGAAGUUUGUCAUCUGUUCCCAUUUCUGAUAAAACCGCACCCAGAGCAAAGUCUGAUGCAUCUGUUUCCAUAAAGAAUGCUUUGGAAAAAUCAACAGGAUACAAGAUUGGUGCAGAAACAAACGUUGUCUUCAAAGAUUCAAAAGUAACUUCUGCUUCUUGAUUCCAUUGGAGUUUGUCUUUACAAGCCAAACGUGUAAGUGGAGGUGCAACUCAAGAGAAGUCUUUGAUAAAGAUCGGAUAGUAGAUGACAAAUCCCAAAAAACAUUAGACAUCUCUUACCGUUUUUGGGAUCUUCCAGUCUAUAAUAGUUUGAACUUUCUUAGGAUCCAUCAUAAGUCCAUCAUUUGAAAUGAUGUAAUCUAAAAAAUUGACUUGAGUAGUAAAGAACACACACUUUUCUAUCUUAGCAUAGAGUCUUGCAUCUCUUAAUUUUUGUAACACAUGAUGAACAUGAAUUUCAUGUUCUUUUGGAUUCUUAGAAUAGAUCAAGAUGUCGUCUAGAUAACAGACCACAAAAUCGUCCAAAAACUUUCAAAAAACAUCAUUCAUUAGAUGUUGAAAAGCUGCUGGUGCAUUUGUAAGUCCAAAAGGUAUGACGUUGUAUUCAAAAUGUCCAUACCUAGUUUGAAAUGCAGUCUUCCAUUCAUCUCCUUCUUUGAUACGUACUAGAUUGUAUGCUCUUCGAAGAUCUAUUUUUGUAUAGAUCUUAGCUUAUUUCAACUGAUCAAGAAGUCUAGAUAUUAAAGGUAGUAGAUACUUAUUCUUGAUGGUAAUCUUGUUGAGUCCUUGAUAAUCAAUACACAUCCGCAAUGAUCCAUCUUUUUUCUUCACAAAUAGAAUUGGAGCUCCUACCGGAGAUUUAGAAUGGCGUAUGAAAUUCUUGGCUAGAUUUUCUUCAAUAUACUCCUUGAGUUCAGUCAACUCAUUUUGUGAUAAACUGUACAUUGGUCUAAAUGGGGGUUGUGCUCCUUCUUGAAGGUCAAUUGAGUAAUCAUAGGGAUGAUGUUCCGGGAGUGUAUCCACAUUCUUUUUUUCAAAUACAUCUUGAAAUUCUUGAUAUUGGCUAAGAAUGCGACUUGAAGUCUUUUCACCAGUAGGAAUAGGUGUGGUAUAAAUAAUAUAUAGUGAUUCUUUCAUAGCAGCAUGUAAGAAAGCUUUUGCACCUAUAAAUAAGAGUUUAAUUGAAUUACACUUAUGACUCUCUACUUGAUUAACUACACUGUUAGUUAUACUUUUAGAGAAAGUAAGAGUUCGGAAAAUCCAAUCUAUUUGAGGGUUGUAUUUUUCUAACCAUGAUAAACCUAAAAUGACUGGAUUAGAGGGAGAUCUAAUGAUAUUAAAUACUACAAAACUAUUAUAAUCAUUGAUUAUUACUUCUAUAGGAAAGGUUUCGUGAGUAAUAUCUCCAGAAGACAAUGGACAACCAUCUAUGACUUCUACAUGAAUAGGUUUAGUUUUCUUUACUAAAUUUAUGCUAUGUCUUUUAGUAAAUUCUUCAUCUAAAAAAUACACUCAAGCUCCCGAAUCUAACAAGACAGAGACUUUUUAAUGUUUAUGUCCUAAAAUAAUAUUUAAUUUAAAACAAGGAGAGGGCUCUAAAGAGAGAAUAGGACCUUUAUUAGAUGUUGUGCAAGGUUCCAGCCGCACGGUCCCUAUUGUAGCUGGACAAAUUUGUUUUCCGACAUAUUGUCUUCUUUUACAGCCAUACUCCUCAUUUUGUAAUUACGUCAUUUUUUUGGACAAUGUUGAGCAGUGUGCUUUGGUUCUCCACAAUAUAAACAUAAUCCUUCUUGACGACAAUGAGUCUUUUCUUACUCAGUAAGAGGUUUGAAAUGUACUACAUCAAUUUGCAUAUCCUCUACUUCCGAAUGUAUGUGUUGAAGAGGUGUUGGUGUUGCCAUUGAAUUAUAGUAACGUUGAAGUACACUUGUACGGUUCUUAGAUCGGAAUUCAAAAAGGCGAUUGUCGCACUUCACAACAAAGUCAGUUACUUGACUCAAUGUUUGAAGAUCAAGUAAGUUGAGCAUUAAUUUUUUUACCUCAUAUUGUAAUCCAUAGAGAAAUUGGCUAAUAAGUGCAGUAUCAUCUCAUUUGAUAUCAGUUGCAAGUUGUCAAAAUUGUGAAGCAUACAUUAUUACUAAUUAUUUGCCUUGUCGUAAAAUACGGAUCUUAUUGGUUGCAACACAAAUUGCAUCAUAUUCUCCAUACAUGAAUCAAAACUCUAUCAAAAAAGCCUCUAGAUUAUUCAAUAUUAGAUCUUGUCGUUCAAAAAAAGAUGAAAACCACAAUAGUACUAAAUCUAAAAGAAGCGUAUCAAUGAAUCUAACUUGCGAUCUUGGAGUUGGAUAGCUUUGGGAUUGAAAUUCAAUCAUAAGUUACACUGGAUUGAUAAAUCCUCGAAACUUGGAUUUGAUGCCAUCAAACUUCUCGGGUAGGGCAAUUCUUGGUUCUCUAACACUAGAAGGGCAUUCCACCAUAGAAAAAAGGACAUGGUUUGGUGGAGAUGUUGAAGCAGCUCCAACCAUUUCUAUAUCUUCACUUCCUACCAAUCUUGUUGCUCCUUGUGGUGGUAAUCUGAGUUGAUGCAUCGUAAGCAUUAACUCCCUCAAUCGCUCUUGCAUUUGUGCCAUUGCAUUCUUCAUUUCAACAAGUUCUGCCAUGAUAACACUUAGAAAAGAGAAGAUGUCUAAUAUCGCUCAAGACAAAUAGAAGAGAGGACUUGAGAACAAAGAAAAUACUAAGGACGAUAUCAGUUUAGAAGAGGGUAAUCCGUAACUUCUAAUAUGCUUAUAUCUUAUCAAGAAAAAGGGGUAAUCUACUCUUAAUCAAGAUUAGAUAAAGCUCUGAUAUUGUAGGUUUACUCUUGUCAAUCUGUCAAAGACAAGAACUCGAUGAAAAAAAAAUCCAGACAAGUGAGCCUUUACUCAAAAAAAGGUAACAAAAUAUAAAUAAAUAAGUAUGUAUAUUGUAAGAGAAACUAGAAUAGCUAUUGCUAAAAGACAAGAAAACUAGAGACCUUUGAAACUAGACUAGAAGCAAGAAAGGAAUUGACAAGAGUGAAGAAGGCUUCACUCUUCUCUUUAUAUAUACUAUCUAACUAGGAGCUACGUGGCAACGUUCUAUAGGACCUCCAAUAUGUGUUAACUUUGUAGGACACAUGCCUUGACUUACAAGGUAAGUUUUUCUACGUAUGGGCCACAUAGUUAGCUUAAUCUUCAAGCUAACAACAUGUGUGGCACAUGGCCAACUUAUUGACCACAUUUCUAAUCCAAAAAGUCAAUUAAAGAUACCUAUGAAGUCAAAGCAGCAUCUAUGAAGCUUCUAGAAAGCUUCCAUAUUAAAUACUAUAGAAUUAACUUACUUUUAUUUACUUUUAUUUACUUUUACUUACUUCUACCUAUUUGUAUAUGUAAUUACAAACUUACAUGAGUAUGUCCAUGAAUUUUUUUUAUUUGUUCUAUAGAAUCUUCUAAUAAAGAUUUAACAACAAAUUUAUAUUUUUGUAUAUUCUUUUAUAUUUUAUCCCUACAAUAACUUUUGAUAGGUAAAAAGAUUCAAGUAUAGAAUAAACUUCUUUUGAAUAAAUUUCCACAAUCUUAUCAUCAUAUCCUAAUUCAAUAGAUACAAUUAAUUCCAAAAAAAUUCAAUCCAAUUUUUUCAUAAACACCUAAAAUCUUCUCAUCAUCUUUUAAUAUUUCUAACCUAUAUAAUUCUUUAUCAAUAUCAUAUAUUAUUUCUCUUUCUUUUCUUUUUAAAUCCUUAAUUUUCUUAUGAAUAAUACUUUCAUUUUUAAAAAUGUCAAUAAAACUUGCACCGAAGGCACCUACAUCUUAUAAGAGUAUUGUUUUUUUUGUAUCUCUAUUAUUCCAUUUUACAAUGCUACUUCUUCAAAAUCCUUAAAUUCUUCAAUAAUUUUCUACAAUGGUUUUUCUCUCAAUCUAUCUUGAUUUUGUUUGUGAUUAAGAGGCAUAUUUAGAAAUUAUACCACUUUCCUUCCAUCUUUACUAUGCAUUCGUGCAUAGGCUAAAGUAUCAUUAAAUAUUUUUAUUUCCAUCAGUGUUGCUAAAAAAUAUGGUUAUUUUAAAAUCAUUAGAUAAAAUGUAUCUUGAACAAAAUAAUAAUGCUCUAUUAUAAAAUCUUUAAUCUGGAUUUUAAUAUCUAGACAAGCUCCAUAUAAUUCAUUUUAUAUUUUUUUAGCUACUUGUAUUAUCCAUCUAUAUUUUAUUUCAAUUGAUCACCUCCGUUUCUUAUAAAGAUCCUCAGAUAUAAGAUUUAUUUUAGAACCAUAGUCAACUAAAGCAACAACCAAUUCUUCUAUAUUUUCUACCUUCACUAAUAUUUUUAUAGUUGUCCUUGUCCAAUGCUUUUGAAUAUAAUGGCUUAAAGCUUUUAUUUACUUGUCACUAUAAUUUUCAAAACAUAUUUUUUGAUUAUAUUCUAUUUAUUUUACUUAUUGAUUGCUUGUAACUAUUAAUAAUCUUUUCUUUAUCUUUGUAUAUUCUUGUAUCAAUAACAUGACUCAUUGCAGCUUCAUCCAUUAAUUGUCUCUUUUUUUUAAUAUUGUCAAUAAUAAUAUCAUGAAACUCCUUCUUUAUAAUUCUUAAAAUCUCUUUAAAUAUAAACUCCACUUUAGAAUUUUAUACACGUUAUUCUAACACUACUUUGAAAUCUAUUGUUUUUUUAAUAUCAAAAAGUAAUUUAUAAGCUAUAUUGAUUUAUCUUUAUUAUUUUUUUUUUUCUAUUUCUUUCAAUAUUAUUGAUGUAUCUUUUUUAGACAAUUCUUAUGAAGCUGCCUCAUAAGCCUUAUCUCUUUAAAUUUGUGUCUUAGAAGAAUUUUUUUUUCUUGUAUCAUCAAAAUUUUCUUGUCUCUUUUCUCCUAUUAAGGCUUGAUGUUUGCUCUUAGUAAUAUAUGCAUGAACUAAAAUAGCUUCUAUAAGAUCUUUCCAACAUGUUGCACCACAUAUUAUAGCUACAAUUUUUAAUAAUACUUUUGGAGUUUUUAUUUUUUAUUUUUUUAUAUUAUGCAAAUAAAAAAAAGUCUAAAAUCCACUUCUCUCUAUACUUCCAUCAAAGUCAUUAUCUACUCUAAUACAAUAACUUGUAGCUUUUUAUAUUCUUAUUUUAUAUACAAUUAAAUAAUCUUGAAUCAAUGCUUUCAUACCUACCUUAGAAAAAUUGGUUUAAAAGAAUUUCCUUAUAUCUUUUAAUACCACCUUUUCAAUUUUUCAAAAAAUAACUUCUUGUUAAAUCAUAUCACUAAAUUCAUUGCAAUCCUUCUUAAUAUGAAAAGCAUCAUCAUACCAAAUAUAUCUUUGUAUAUAUCUUUUUUUAGAAGUAACUUUCAAAUUAUUUAUAGAGGUCUUUUCUUCAAGUCUUGUUAAUUUGAUUUCAAGAUUCUACAUGAAAUUUUCUUCAAACUUCACAAAUUAAAUAUUCAAAUAUCAUAAAAAUUUUAUAUACAAUUUUUUAACCUAAUAACUCAUAUUUUUAAAAAAUUUGAACCAAAAAUUUGUCUAAAAACUCAAGAUAUGUCUCCAAUCAUUAUUAUCAUCGAAACAACUUACUUAAUACUUUUGAAUUACAUAUACUAUCUUCAAUGUUCUAUAACUCCUUCAUAAAAACCUUGAAUAUAGCAAUUUUUUUCCAAAAGACAUAGGUCUUAAAAUCACUCUUACAACCACAUCUUUUGAUCUCCAAAAGUUGCCAUACAACUUCUUGUAUCUUCAAAAAAGAAACCAUAUGCCUUAAAAGACACCUUAACUUUAAACAGCUAUAACUUCUUCAUCUUAACUCUGAGCCCUUUAAAUUUUUCACACAAAUUGUAGUCCAAAUUCUAAAUCUUACAACCUUUGCUUUUGAUUCUCAAAAUGUUCUUUUUGAAGUUACCAAAACUCUCAUUAUGAUUGAAAACAACCUCUUGAGAGCCUAUUGGAUAUGGCAUUUAAUCAAAAGAGAUGAAGGUCCUCAUUCCUUAUCUUCAUCCAUCUAUAUAUUGCUUUUAUUUCUCCAAAUUAGAUUCUUAGAAGUUUGGAUGUUCAUCUUUGAACUCCAAUCUUUUCUUUAGAUUUUAUAUUAAAUAUCUAAAUUCUAUAUAAUUCAAAUAUUAUAAUCAAAAUAGAUAAAAUUCAAAAUAAAUUUUCUUACAUCAACUCUCUAUAAAUUAAUUUAAUAACCAUUCUAAUAUACAUUAAUUUUUAUAAAUAUAUUAUAUAUUUUAAUUAAUUUUUAUAUUAUAUAUAUAAUUAUAAUAUAACAUCCACCUUCUCUGAACCUACACAUCUUUUUGUAUAUGCUACAUGCUACUCCUCUUCAUCUUCUUGAGAUUUCUUUAAAUCAUUUCUAAAUUCUUCUACUUCAUAUUCUUGAUCCAAAUAUUGAGAUAAGAAUUCUUCAAGGUCUUAUAUUUUAAAUCCCCUAUUUCUUUUCUUAAAAGUAUUUAUCUUCUUUCUUGCUACUGGAAUUCUAAGAAUAAUUCCAUCUCAUUCAUAUAAGAUAUAUGUAGCAUUAUCAUGGAUUGUAACUACUACACAUGGUUUAAAUCAUUUUUUUAUAAAUUUCUUUAUGAUGCUAUGCUAAUAUUCAAAGCUGCUAUUAUUAACUAAAAUCCAAUUUCUAAUCUCUACACCCUUAAGCCUCAAUAUAUAACUUUUAUCAAUUUUUUUUAUUUUUUAAUCUUGCUUUUUUUAACCUCUCACCUAUAACUUGUAGAUCUCCAAUUAACUUUUUUAAUUUUUAGAUCCAAGGCUUCAAUAAUGUUUUUUUAUUACCAUUACUUUUUCAAGAUAGAAACAUUUAUGUAAGAUAAUAUUUUUUCAACUCGCAUCAUAAAUUUUUAUCUUAAUAUUAAUUUCAUAGGUAUAUAAUUAAUUAUAAUACCGUAAAUAGUCUUAUCAACCUAUAAAGUAAAUAGAAGCAAUUUAGGCUAUUAAAUUAGAUUAUCUUUACAUAUCUUAAUCAACACUAUCGUAAUACAUGAAGUCUUGCUUAAGAAUGCUCCAAGCACCUGACUGUGGAAGGAAGAAUAGAAAUUGCAAUAACAAAAUGCUAAUUCUAAUAGAAUACUAACAAUGCUCUAAUUAAACCAUAAUAAUGCUAAGCAAGCUUAAUCAAAUUCAAAAAAAACCUAAAAGAAAUUUCAAACAAACAAUAGGAAUUCUUAAAGAAAUAUUAGAAUGAUCACAAAUAUCACUCAAAUGCAUCUCAAUUCAAUCUUAAUUUAAUUCUAGUUAAAAUCUUAUUGAACUUCAUUCAAACUUUAAGCCAAAACUAAUUGAAUCUUAAAUCCUAAUAAAAUCCUAAAUCCUAAAUCAAACCCUAAACAAACCUUAAACCAAACCCCAACCAAAUCCUAAAUCCUAAAUCAAAUCCUAACCAAAUCCUAAUCCAAAUCCUAAAUCCUAAAUCCAACCCUAAUCAAAUCCUAAACCCUAAAUAAAAUCCUAACCAAAUCUUAAACUAAACCCUAAAUCCUAAAUCAAAUCCUAACCAAAUCCUAAACCCUAAAUAAAUCCUAAACCAAACCCUAAUCAAACUCUAAACCAAACCCUAGUAAUUCCUACAACAAAUUUAAACCUCAAUAACUAAUGAAUAAA
This 57811-nucleotide long non-coding RNA is filed under the name Physcomitrium patens. RNAcentral's name for it is "long non-coding RNA (PPAT_LNC010097)". The record is from RNAcentral. Lineage: Eukaryota; Viridiplantae; Streptophyta; Bryopsida; Funariales; Funariaceae.